GCAAAGAAUGGUUACAAUGACCAGCCGGGUUCACGUACGCAGACUUUUUGUGUUGAGUGUGGUUCCUGUAUUGAUGUUUUUUUUCUGCUUUGUUUAAGAAAGCCUAUAUACUCAUGGCUAUGCGUUUUUAUUUUUUUCCACUUCCUUGACGUCCUCUUCAAAUCAUCAUUGUUGCUAGCGGAUCCAUUGUCGGUUGUGUCGACCAGGCAAGUUUAUUUUUAUUACACUCAAUUUUCAAUGGAACAAACCCAUGCAGAUCGACGAGCUUCUUCAUCUCCGCAAUAAGAUGUCCACGGCAUAACAAACAUAUGUUGCCUCGCCACGAUUGCUCUUUUGCUUCUGAGCUGUGGGAGGCACCCAACCAAAUAUAUGUAGGUGAUCAAGAAGAGUUCAGAAAUGCCAACUCAGUUUUUUUUUCAGAAAUUUAAGUAUUUUUUGCCACUUGAAACAUGGUUAGGGCACGUACAAUGCGGGCGCUAGAAAUAAAACCAUGGCAGUUUUUGCAUCGUCCAGGCUACUUCCUGGCAUCGACACAUAACCUAGAGUCGGACAUUAAAAAAAGUAUAAAACAAUGUAGCUGCUAGGGCCGUAUGAUUGUGCAUGUUAAUUUGCUCAGGAUUUUAAACACUCUUGUGUUGGAGCCGGCCUUAGAGUGAUAAUUUUAACACUAGCUAUUAAUGAUAUCCAUGUGUGAUAACUGAUUCUGGAUGAGUUUGUUAAUGCUAGCCUACAUAGAUAGUGCGGUAUGUGGUGGAUUAGCGCAUCAUUUUGAGAUUGAUCACAUUUCGGUUUAUUGUGAUCACGUAGACAUAACUAUCAUGGACAAGGGCGUGAAAGAGGAUAAGCUGCGAAACGACAAAGACAUGUGAUAUUGAUUUUCACCCGUUGCAACGCACUGCCUUUUUGCUAGUGAAAAAAAAGGAAGCCCUCGCGUGAUGCAACCGGCUGGUUCACAGCGUGACCACCACCGGACUUCGGAGCACGUUCGAGACGCUAUCGACUCCGGAGCCUUUGUAAGUAGAUGGACACCUCCACAAUGGCCGGAGAAAACGAAACGAAAGAUGCACUCCAGCACGGCUUCAAAAAAAAAGAUGCACUGCGAACCAACCUGUGGUUGAGAUGGUUAGGUGGACAGUGGUAUCCCCAACCCAUCAGGGUUUAAACCCUGGUGCUCGCAUUAUUCCUGAAUUUAUUUCAGGAUUUCCGGCGAUGUGCUUUCAGUGGGAGGAGACGUUCCCGUCGACGACGAGGCGCCUACUGUGACUUCGUAAAUCUCAAGAUGAUAUGCCGGCUCAGUCUCUCGGAGGUGCUCAUAGGGAUAGGAUGUGCGUGUAUGCGUUCAUAGGGAUGAGUGUAUGCGCGUGUAUAUGAGCGUUUGUGUCUGUACUGAUGCUAAAAAAAAAAGAGAUGCACUCCAGCAGAUAUACGCUAAACUCCCGUCAAUAAACCCUAUCCGACACCACAUGCACGCGCGUAAACUGCCAGAAUUUGUCCCGUCCCGUCUCGUCUCUCUGCCAUGGAGCCGGAUCUGGAAGCAGGGGCGUCACCCCAUGCCCCCACCGUUUCGGCGAAGUUCGUCGUCCUCCGCCUCAUCGGCCUCCUCUGCCUCGUCAUGCUGACAUGCGUGUUACUGGCCGCGUUCAUGGCCUUGUUGGAGGCUAUCCCCAAAAGCGACAGAUAUCAGAUCCUCCGUGUCCCCACUUUCUCGGUCGAUCUCGCCGGCUUCGACGGGCUCGACGGCCGGACGCUGGCGCCCAGCAUCUCACCAGCGUUCAACCUCACGCUCCACGGCGUCAGCAACCACAGCUCGGGGCCGUCGUCGUGGGUCUGCCAGGAGCGCGGGACGGUGGCGGUCUCGUACGCGGGGGCGGUGCUCGCCUGGGGCCGCGUGCCCGGGUUCUGCUUUGGCGAGCACGCCCACGAGCGCGCGGGGAUGGUGGCGCUCGGCGCCGGGGUUGGGCUGUCCGACGAGCUGCGCGACCGCAUGGCGUCGGAGAGGCGGUCGCGGUCCGCGGUGGUGGACGUGGACAUCGUGCUGGGCUGGAUCGCGGAGGAGUCCCACUACCUGAAGAGGUUGCUGUCGUGCCGGGUGAAGCUGGAUGAGCCGUCGCCGCGGCCAUAUCCCUGCAAAGUCCUUGUAUCGUAUCCCUGGUGAAUCACAACAUGGACUAAUUUUCCAUGGAAAAUCCGUUGUUUUCAUAUGAUGAGUUCAUUCGUUCUCUUGUAUUUCCUCCGUUCCAAAUUACUCGUCGCAAAAAUGGAUGUAUCUAAAACUAAAAUACAUCUACAUACAUUCAUACAUGCGACAAAUAAUUCAGAACGAAAGGAGUACUAUAUUCAAUUUAUAGUCUCAUUUUUUUAGAUUGUUUAUAGUCUCACGUUUAGUAGUUGUUUCUAGUUUCUAUGUGUCUUUUAAAUACUAUACUGAUGUAUACCGGUAAACUUUAUACAACUUUCAAGACAUGCUGGUGGGCGCUGUUUUUCUGAAAACAACGUGCAUCACAGAUGUCAAAAUAUACUCACCCCUAUCAAGGUAUGCACACAUACUGUACCUCUAUAAGCAUUUGAUAAAAACAUCUUCUUUUAUUGAACGAACAUCGCCGAAAUAUCUGAAAUGAAUUCAGUCUAACCACAAGGAACCUAACUAUCUGAGUUACAGUCAAUUCGCUGGCAUGCUUGUCUUAAUAACAAUUCUUGUAUAUAUAUCUAAAUAGUUGAUUCCAUAAGUGUUUUUUUAAAUGAUGCAAACUAUUUUCAUUUUCCAUUAAGAAAGAAGUGUCGACUAGUUAAUUAGUAUAAAAGUCGGUGAAAAUCAUCGUAACCCGCUGAUUAGGCACAUACAAGGACAUCACAAUACCACACGCAUCACCAUGAAGAAAACAUCACCAACCAAGCCCACACCACAAAGGCCUCGAGAAGCCACACAAAAUUCCAAUCGAUUAACCACACACACCGCUAGCAAGACAACCCAGAUUGAGAAUGAACAACGAAGGACUAUGCAAGGUUCGUGCUGCGAAGGAUCCUCCAGCUGGUCCACCUGUCACUUAUCAUCAUUGCCGCAUGGACUUCACUGUCGCGCAACUCCGCCGCCUCUGCAACCAACAAAACUAUGAUGACCUUGUUGACUACCACAACCUUGCCACAAACCCGCCUUGCUCGUUGAGGGAGUCCUGAAUUAGGGGGUGUUCGGAUAGCCGAACUAUACCUUCAGCCGGACUCCUGGACUAUGAAGAUACAAGAUCGAAGACUCCGUCCCGUGUCCGAAAGGGACUUUCCUUAGCGUGGAAGGCAAGCUUGGCGAUACGGAUAUUCAGAUCUCCUACCAUUGUAACCGACUCUAUGUAACCAUAACCCUCUCCGGUGUCUAUAUAAACCGGAGGGUUUUAGUCCGUAGAACAACAUACACAUCAACAAUCAUACCAUAGGCUAGCUUCUAGGGUUUAGCCUCUCCGAUCUCGUGGUAGAUCUACUCUUGUACUACCCAUAUCAUCAAUAUUAAUCAAGCAGGACGUAGCGUUUACCUCCAUCGAGAGGGCCUGAACCUGGGUAAAACUUCAUAUCCCUUGCCUCUUGUUACCAUCCGGCCUAGACGCACAGUUCGGGACCCCCUACCCGAAAUCCGUCGGUUUUGACACCGACAUUGCUGCUUUCAUUGAGAGUUCCUCUGUGUCGUCGCCAUCAGGAAGGAUGCCUCACCCCAUCUUUAAAGACGGCACCGUUGCUAAGGGAGCUUUGGCUGUCGGCCAAACCCUUCGGCUAGGUGGUUUUCUUAUGACCACCUGUUCGGCUUCUGCGCCGACGAUGACCUCUCAAGCCAUCGAAAACAAUCUUCAUGUCAACUCGGAACUUGCCGAGCAGUUAGAUCCAAUAGAGCUUUCCUCCAUAAACGAGCUCUUGGAUCGCUUCGCCGCCCUGGGAGUCGCUACGGAUUACGACCAGAUUGGGCCUAAAACCGAUCUGAGAGAGAUUAACUCUCCCCAAGCCACCCAUCACGUUGCCGUGGUAGAGGGACAGUGCGGCGACCCUUCAUCUAUCUUAAGGACUCACUACGUCCGGAUUCCCGACCCCUUCAAGCCGGAUGUCCACGGAGGGGAGGAUAUCACUCAAGACCUGAAUCUAGAAUCAGGCGACGGACUGGAUUCAUUGGACGACAUCCAGGAAUCCAAAUUUUCGAGUUCGGAAAUUCCUCGGCCUCUGAGCCUCAGAAGGGGUAAGGCUUCAGAUUUAAUUCCACCCACCCACCCGAACAUUAGCGAUCUACCCCAAAUCAGGCAAGAGCCCAAAGAAACAGUACAUCAUUACUGGGCCAGAUUCCUCCUGGUUAUGAACAGGAUAAAGGGCUGCCGCGAGGAAGACGCAAUUUCAUUCUUCUACAAUAAUUGCACGGACAAGGGGAUACUCAACGCCAUAAGUCGCCGUGAUAUUACACGCUUCGCUGACUUAGCGUCCAUAGUACGAAAGUACUGUGCGAUGGAAAGCGCCCGGAAAACCGAAACAAAAUUUUGGGACAAUCCGGCCCUUAAGGCAAGCCCAGUCCGAAAUAAAAGGGUGCAUCAUCGCCAGACACCCAGGUCAAACACCAAAAGGCAAAAACCCUCUACAGGGCAUGGAACCGUACUGGAAGGAUGGCUUAAUGGACCCUGUAAAAUUCAUAGUACAGAGGACACCACACCAACUCACAGCCUUAGAGCAUGUUGGAUACUCCGGCAGGUGGCCAAAAUUGGCGAAAACCUCCUAAUUCCGGAGGCCACAGAAAGCCACCCCAGAGACACCAAUACGGUAUUAACAGUCUUCGAGACCUUCGCAUCAAAUAAUAUGCGAAAAAUGACACUCCGCAGCCUUGCCGAAGUUUACCAAGUAGCAACAAUAAACCCAUGGAGUGACACGGCCAUCACCUUUAACGCGAGUGAUGAACCUAAAUUCCGAACAGCCCAAGCACCAGCUGCAUUGGUCCUCAGUCCAAUAGUGGACGGCUUUCGUCUUACCAAGGUACUCAUGGACGGCGGCAGCGGAUUGAACCUCAUUUAUGAGGAAACUCUUCAAAAAAUGGAUAUAGACUGGAACCGCAUCAUGCGAAGCAGCACAACCUUUAGAGGAAUAAUCCCCAGUCGGGAAGCGCGCUGUACAGGAAAAAUCACACUAGAUGUGGUGUUCGGCACGCCGUGCAAUUACAGGUCCGAAGAGGUCACGUUCCAGUGGCCCCAUUCAGCAGCGGUUAUCACGCUUUGCUAGGGCGGGAAGCAUUCACAAUCUUCCAAGCAAUACCCCAUUACGGGUACAUGAAGCUCAAGAUGCCCAGGCCUAACGGGAUCAUCACUCUCGCUAGUGAUCCGGACAUAGCACUCCGCGCCGAAAACAAGACAACCGCACUGGCCCUCAAGGCACUAUCCGAAGCCCUAGCGGCUGAGGAGCUGACUGUGCUGCGCUCUACGGUGAAUAGGGACGAUGUGGUACUCGAUAAAAGAUCCAAAUCCACCUCCUUUAAACCAGCGAACGAAAUAGUCAAAUUCCAAGUCCAUCCAACGGACCCCAAUAAAACAGUUUCCAUCGGGGCACAGUUAAACCCUGAUGUCGACGCCGCAUUGCGAGAGUUCCUACGAGAGAACUGGGACAUUUUUUCCUGGCACCCUUCAGACAUGCCAGGAAUCCCACGCAGGCUGGCCGAGCACAGCUUAAAUAUCCAAACAUGAUUCAAACCUGUCAAAUAGGCUCUCGGGCGUUUUUCCGAACCUAAAAGACAGGCUAUGGGAGAGGAGCUAGCAAAACUAUUAGAGGCCGGAUUCAUCAGAGAUAUAAAACAUCUGGACUGGCUAGCAAACCUGGUGAUGGUACCAAAGAAGGACAAAUCCUGGCGUUUGUGUGUUGAUUUUAAAGACCUUAACAAGGCUUGCCCAAAGGAUCCCUUCCCCCUCCCCCGCAUCGAUCAAAUCAUCGAUGCGACCGCAGGACACGAUUCAUUGUGUUUCCUCAACGCAUAUUCUGGCUACCAUCAAAUCAAGAUGGCAGAACCAGACCAAGCCGCAACGGCAUUUAUCACACCAUACGGGCCAUUCUGCUUCAACACGAUGCCCUUCGGGCUCAAAAACGCCGGCGCAACAUAUCAUCGCAUGAUUCAGACAUGUUUGGCAAGCCAGAUCGGUAAAACAGUGGAGGCAUACGUAGAUGAUGUGGUCGUCAAAACAAGACAUGUUGAAUCUCUAGUAGACGACUUGAGGCUCACAUUUGAUAAUCUCCAAACAUACGACAUCAAGCUCAACCCGGAAAAAUGUGUUUUCGGCGUUCCAGCCGGAAAGCUCUUGGGCUUCAUUGUAUCCAGCAGAGGAAUUGAAGCAAAUCCAGCCAAGAUCCGAGCUCUAUCGCAACUGGAUAUCCCAAAGGACCUCAAACAAAUACAAAAGUUAACCGGAUGUGUGGCGGCUCUAAGCCGCUUUAUCUCCCGCUUGGGAGAAAAGGCCCUUCCCCUUUACCGCCUCCUUCGGCGCACCGAACACUUCAAAUGGACGGACGCAGCCACGGCCGGACUCGACGAAAUAAAAGCCAUACUGGCAACAAACCCAGUCCUGGCCGCACCAAACACCGGCGAACCAAUGCUAUUGUACAUCGCAGCAACACAUCAGGUUGUAAGCACAGUGCUCGUCGUCGAACGAGAAGCGGACGGACACAAAUUCCCCCUUCAAAGGUCGGUCUAUUAUGUGUCCACUGUCCUCACUCCCUGCAAAUCACGGUACCCGCAUUAUCAAAAGAUUGCGUACGCGGUAUGUUGGAAAUAUGCCCUAGAGGCAAUAAUAAAAGCAUUAUUAUUAUAUUUCCUUGUUCAUGAUAAUUGUCUUUAUUCAUGCUAUAAUUGUGUUAUCCGGAAAUCGUAAUACAUGUGUGAAUAAUAGACACCAACAUGUCCCUAGUAAGCCUCUAGUUGACUAGCUCGUUGAUCAACAGAUAGUCAUGGUUUCCUGACUAUGGACAUUGGAUGUCAUUGAUAACGAGAUCACAUCAUUAGGAGAAUGAUGUGAUGGACAAGACCCAAUCCUAAACAUAGCAUAAGAUCGUAUAGUUCGUUUGCUAGAGUUUUUCCAAUGUCAAGUAUCCUUUCCUUAGACCAUGAGAUCGUGUAACUCCCGGAUACCAUAGGAGUGCUUUGGGUGUACCAAACGUCACAACGUAACUGGGUGACUAUAAAGGUAUACUACGGGUAUCUCCGAAAGUGUCUGUUGGGUUGACACGGAUCAAGACUGGGAUUUGUCACUCCGUGUGACGGAGAGGUAUCACUGGGCCCACUCGGUAAUGCAUCAUCAUUAUGAGCUCAAAGUGACCAAGUCUCUGGUCACGGGAUCAUGCAUUACGGUACGAGUAAAGUGACUUGCCGGUAACGAGAUUGAACAAGGUAUUGGGAUACCGACGAUCGAAUCUCGGGCAAGUAGCAUACCGAUUGACAAAGGGAAUUGUAUACGGGGUUGCUUGAAUCCUCGACAUCAUGGUUCAUUCGAUGAGAUCAUCGAGGAGCAUGUGGGAGCCAACAUGGGUAUCCAGAUCCCGCUGUUGGUUAUUGACCGGAGAGCGAUCUCGGUCAUGUCUACAUGUCUCCCGAACCCGUAGGUUCGGUGACGCUAGGGUUGUAGGGAUAUGUAUAUGCAGUAACCCGAAUGUUGUUCGGAGUCCCGGAUGAGAUCCCGAACGUCACGAGGAGUUCCGGAAUGGUCCGGAGGUAAAGAAUUAUAUAUAGGAACUGCUAUUUCGGCCGUCGGGACAAGUUUUGGGGUCACCGGUAUUGUACCGGGACCACCGGAAGGGUCCCGGGGGUCCACCGGGUGGGGCCACCUAUCCCGAAGGGCCCCAUGGGCUGAAGUGGGAAGGGAUCCAGCCCAAAGUGGGCUGGGGCACCACUUCCCCUAGGUCCCAUGCGCCUAGGGUGGGGGAAACCCUAAGACCUUGUUCGGUUGUAGCAGAAUUAAUCCUCUAGUGGAUUUAAUCCUCUAGAGGAUUGGGUGAUCCCCGCUUGACACCAAAACCACUUGGGGACCAAAUCCCUGCCAGUAUGCAAUCCACGCCGCUCUCAUGCAUUCGGUUAGUCCCCAAGGGCACUGGACCACAGGGACAACAGUAUUGACAUAGAUGAAGUGGUACAUAUAGAUAACAACAAUUCUCAUGCAGUAAUGACACAGAUGCAGACUGAAGUGACAAUAACACUGACAGUUUAAAACACUUAUUAUCCCAACAAUAACAACAAUUCUAAGAUUUGAACAGGGCACAAAUACUAACAAAAAUAAUAGCAAUUUAGAGCAUACAUAAUAUAUAAUAUGUUGAAUAGACCACAAGAGCUUAAUUAUCAGUUCCUCCCAAAUUCUUCCACGCUACAGUCAGUCGUUUCAGAAAUAGUGUUUAGUUUCUCUACAAAUAUCACAUGGACAAAACCCAACGAAUAGAUAUGAAGCCUUCCACUGAAAAGCACACACAAAUAGAUCCAAGUCACGGCACCUUCGCUCUUCUUCUGGAGCAUUCUUAUGUAGAACUCCUGCUUUUUGAAACCAUUCAAACCCAAAAUUAGUUUGAGAGUGAAAUACUUGGCAGUUUUAUUUCCAGGAAUGGAAACAAUGAGAAAAACAUACAUAAACAGUAGGUAAAUCAAUCUCUAUCCUCUGAUCUAUGUUAAAAGCAUCCCUUUUUAUUUUCUAGGGGCAAGGCAUCAUAGCAGUUUAGAAAUAGACAAUUACUACAACCACAAGAAAAUCAGCCUAGCCUAGCUACAACACAAGCACUUGUCAACCUGUGUCGAUACAUCAAGCAAUCAUUUGAAAAAAGGUUGUAUUAUUCAAGCAAAGUAUUCCUAUAACCAGUCAGUCUAAUAGUUUGCAAAAGAACUUCAUAAAUAUAUUUAAAACAACUAUCCAUUUCAGAAGAAAAUAAUGUCUUUACAGCAGCAGCAACAACAACAACAUGGACUAAAUGGCUAGCAAGGAGUUUAGUAACAUGCACUAAUUGAAAAGAGGAGUACCUGAGUUAUUCCAUUUCAGCUCUCAGCCACAUAAGAGCAGUCUCCGGUCUGGCACUCAUGAAAAUCUCUCGGUUCUCGGGGAUCUUGAAGACUCGAAAAGCCUUGACUUCUUCUUCAAGUGUGAUCUCCAUUGUUUUCAGCAGAUCAAUGCAGUUUUUGAUAGAGUACUCAUCCAUGACCCUUGGCUUAUUCCUCUCAUCGUCCACCUGCUUCGUCCUUAUUUCCAAGUACUUCUCCAUCAUUGCAGCCACAUCACCAUUCGCCCCCUCCUUCUCUUUGGUUCUUUCUCUUCUCCAUUUCUUGAGGGUACAGUAGCCAAAUUUGGUUGAGUUUGCUCGGGCUCCACAACAAUGUUUUCUUGCACGUAAACCUCCUCAACAUCUUCAUCGAUCUGCACCCUUUCUCCUCCAAGAUUCUCACCAUCAGCUAAUGUUUCUCCUUGAUUCUUGCCAGCUCCUCCAAGAUUCUCGAGAUCUGAUUGGGUUGAGCAAUGUGAUGACUCGAUAGAGGUGAAGUUAUAUGUCCCUUCUGCAGUUUGGCCUACAAGUUAAAGUGACAAUCAAAUAUAAGAUUUCAAACUAGAAGAGUAAACAAACAUAAAACAAUGACAUGAGUAUAUGAAUGAAGUUGAUAACUAACCAUCAUGCAAUUCUCCCAGAGCUUCAAAAAGAGGGAAGCCUUUUGUCUUGAACUUUCCAGCUUUAGGGUGUGACUACAUAGUUGACAAGAAAAUGAUAUUAGAGCAUGCAACAAGUAAUGAAACUUUUAGGGAAUAACAAUGACAUUCUUACUAUGAUGAUGUUUUUCCAAAGUGGUGGAUCCGCUAGAAUCCUGCACUGCCGGUCGUCCCAUGAAACGCCGUUUUGCUUCCUUAUCUCUUUGAUCAUCUUGUAUUCUCUUUUCAACUCUUUUUCCUUUUCUUGGAUUUUCUUCUUCUCGUACCUAGCAUAAGGAUUCUUUUGGUGGAAUUUCUUCACUAUCGUAUUCCAUGCUUCUGAGCUCCAUCCAUUUUGACCCUUAUGUUCAGGUGUAUCAUGCUCACGAAGCAAGUCCACAAGAUCUUUCUCAAGGCUUGCAUUCCACUGUGCUCUAUCUUCUGCAUUUCCACAUUGUAUGUUAAUGUACCUUUUUCUAUCUUAACUAUUUUGGUUUUAAGCAAAUAAUGUCCCGAGAAGAGAAAUAAAGUCACGGCUAGUUUAUUACCUUUGAGAGACCCUCUCCUCCUCUUUGUCACACUGCUUGUAGGAGGUGAUGCUCUAUCCCUUUCGACAGCUUUUUUGAGGAGGCUCAACCGUGGUGACCCUCGAGCAGUCAUCAUAGUGACUUCUGAACAAUAUUCAUGACAUGAACAACAGAAAAAAAAACAUAAACUUCUACACUAUACUUAUUACUACUACACUACAAAUGACAAGUUAUGCAUGUCGAUAAUCAGCCCACAUUUGAUGAGCAAUGGCAUCUCUAAGGUUGUCGCCUUCAUGGUUGAUUUGAUGAUUUUGAGGAAUAUCACCAUCAGGAAGAUCAACAAAAUUCAUGAUAGGUAUAUUGUUUGGUUGGUUAUCUAACCAACGCUCAUCUCCUUUUUCAGAUCGGAUGAUGUUAUGUAAGAUUGCCGCCGCUGCUGGUAGCUUGACUUGGUUCUCUAUUCGAUGAUGCGUGCCCACUUUUAGGAUUGGGAACCGCUUCUUCAAGAUUCCUAAUCCCCGUUCGACGUGAUUUCGUAACACGGCAUGCCGGAGAUUGAAUAGCUCCCUGUGAUUUUGGGGUCGACGGCGACCGCAUGCAAACUCCUUCAGAUGGUACCGAACACCACGAUACGGUGCCAAGAAGUAAGGUGUGUUGGCAUAACCACCAUCAACCAGAUAAAACUUGCCCGGAGGUACAUGAAACCCACUAUUAAGUGCUGACCGGAGAACUUUAGCAUCGGUAGCAGAUCCCUCCCAGCCACAAGAAAUGAAGGUGAAGUUCAGGUCAAAGUCGCACACGACCAUAACAUUAUGGCUUAGGGUCCCUUUCCUAUUUCUAAAUGGUGCGGCUUUUUCUCCUGAAAUUGUUUUGGGAACAUGUGUCCCAUCAAUUGCCCCAAUGCAUUUCUGCAACGAAAUACUAUAACUUAGCACCUAUAACAUGAAGAGUAAGUUAUCGAUGUGGAUCAAAGUUGGCGAAGCAAAAACCUGAAAAUAAGGAAAGAAUCUCGUGUCCGACUGAAUCUUCGGAUGCACUUGACUGGGAUUUGGAGGCUUCAAAAAAUGCUUGGAGAGAAUAGGGAUGAUGUCAAAGAAAUUCUUCAUUUGCCAAUGGAAAGUAUCCCCGCUGUGACCAAACCGAACUUGAAGGUCUUCAAAUGAAGAAUUAUGGGAUAACAUCCACAUAAAUGAUGCUAGUUUCUCUUCGACUUUAAUUCUGGUAUCUUUCACCAACUUCUCCCUUCGAAGAUAAUUAGCCAAAGAUUUGAAGAUACGCGGCUCCAUCCUAAAUGCUACCCGACAGUUUUUGACGUGCCCUUCGAGUAACUCCUUAACAAACAUCUUGCCUGUUAGCGAUGAUGUAUGACGCGGAAUCCUCCGCUCCCUAAGAACAACUCCAUCGGUCUCUAUCAAAUGUAGUGCAGGGAAAACAAAUAACAUCAUUUCGUCAUCCUCCUCCUCCCCCUUCCUAACACGAUCCCUCAUUUCAGGAUCCAUUCCAAGUCUAAAGAAGAAAAAUGUGGCUAGUUAUUACUACUACACCAAAACAGUAAGAGUGCAAGUUGUACAAACAAACAGUUUACCAAAAAAAACUGCAGUAAGAGCUAAAAUUCUUCAACAACUACAAUGUCUAGUAAUGUAAGAUAUUAACAUAGCUCUCAGCUUACCAAAAAAACACUUUGUAACACAGAUCUAUCGACCAAGCAAUAAUAACCAACAAUACAUGAAUAAGGAGAAGAUUAAAACAAGAGGAUUAAUCUACCUUGUCCUUCACGAUGCUGCCCAAUUCAGGGUCUUGCUGUAGCUGUGAGGCGGCGAAGCUAGCUUAUAUCUGGCAUCAUCAAAAUAUCUGGCAUUGGAACAUCAUCUAACAAAAAGGACAACACUAGAAAAAAGGACAACUGCAAUGUGUACCAAUGAAGAACAGAUGAUGAUCACCCACCAUGAAGAGAACAAUUAUAUAAUCUACCAAUGAUCAUACCCGAAGUAUCUUUUGUUCGGACAUAAAAAAUCUUUGGAAGUAUGUGCUCUGCUGCUAAUAGAGAUUAGGUUCACAUACUACAUUUUGGGACGAACAUCAUACUGUACUAUCAGCAGCCAGCAACAAAAACAACAUGCAUUGUUGUUCCUCCAGAUUAGAUAGUCCUUCUUUAUACCAAGAGAUAGACUAACAAUUAUACUACUACUACAAUAAUUAUGUCGAGAAAAAUAAAACAAAUCCAAAUUACUAACACCAAAUCGUACUGCUGACUCCAUUUACUAACACAAAAUUGUACUGCUGACUCCAGUACAAAUUACUAACAACGGGAAGACAGAUCUUGACGACCACAUUCGGGAAGACAAAUCAUGAAAUAACAAUUGAUGCUAGUUCCUAGGAAACCCCAAGAAAAGUCUCGACCUUGACGACCACAUUCGGGAAGACAGAUCAAUAUUUGUCUAGGUUUUCAUGGAGGGGGCAAAUCAGUGCUGCUAGAGAGAAAGGCGGUGGAAGGGAGGGGGGAGGAGGGAGAGAGAGAACUAACCAGAGAUCUCCUCGCCUGCAGCAACCACGUCUCCGGAGCUAGGGUUCCGGCCGCAGGCCCGCGGCAAGGGGGCGGCGGGGGAGAUGGGACAAUCAGAGGCUAGGGUUCUGGCGGGCUUCGUGGCAGGUCGUCGAAGCAGGAGGGCACCCUCCUCCUCCGGGUAGGUUGCGCCGCCACCGUCCACUCGUCCUCGCCGCCUCCUUGCCGCCGCUUCUGUCGCUCGGGAGAGAUGAGACGAGCGCCUCGCUCGGGGAUUCCUUCCACGGGGUGCUAGUGGAUGAUUUUCCCGCAUGGGUUUGGAGAGGUUUGGGCCGGGGAAAUACAACGCGGGGCUUAACCGAACGAGAAAAACUGGAUGGGCCGGGUUUAUUCCCCGGCGGGGGUAAUCCCUGCGGACCCGCGUGGAUUGGACCCAAAACCUCGCCGGGCUGGGCGUAACCGAACAAGGCCUAAAGGGGGGGUGCCCCCUUGCUUGGGGGGCAAGCCCCCCACCCCUUGGCCACCGCCCCCUAGGAGAUUGCAUCUCCUAGGGACGGCGCCCCCCCUAGGCCCCCCUAUAUAUAGUGGGGGGGAUGGAGGACCUCUUACCUUGGCCUUUGGUGCUUCCCUCUCCCUCUCCAACACAUCCUCCUCCUCCAUAGACCUUGGCGAAGCCCUGCCGGAGUACUGCUGCUCCAUCACCACCACGUCGUCAUGCUGCUGCUGGAGCCAUCUUCCUCAACCUCUCCUUUCCCCUUGCUGGAUUAAGAAGAAGGAGACGUCACGCUGACCGUACGUGUGUUGAACGCGGAGGUGCCGUCCAUUCGGCUCUAGGAUCUCCGGUGAUUUGGAUCACGUCGAGUACGACUCCCUCAUCCCCGUUCUUUGAACGCUUCCGCUCGCGAUCUACAAAGGUAUGUAGAUGCAUCCGAUCACUCAUUGUUAGAUGAACUCAUAGAUGGAUCUUGGUGAAACCGUAGGAAAUUUUUUAUUUUCUGCAACGUUCCCCAACAGUGGUAUCAGAGCUAGGUCUAUGCGUAGUUCUCUUUGCACGAGUAGAACACAAUUUGUUGUGGGCAUAGAUGUUGAACUUUCUUGCCGCUACUAGUCUUAUCUUGCUUCAGCGGUAUUGUGGGAUGAAGCGGCCCGGACCAACCUUACACGUACGCUUACGUGAGACCGGUUCCACCAACUAACAUGCACAAGUUGCAUAAGAUGGCUGGCGGGUGUCUGUCUUUCCCACUUUAGUUGGAGCGGAUUUGAUGAAAAGGGUCCUUAUGAAGGGUAAAUAGAAGUUGACAAAUCACGUUGUGGCUUUCACGUAGGUAAGAAAAUGUUCUUGCUAGAACCCUAUUGCAGCCACGUAAAACUUGCAACAACAAUUAGAGGACGUCUAACUUGUUUUUGCGGCAAGUGUUCUGUGAUGUGAUAUGGCCAAAGUUGUGAUGAAUGAUGAAUGAUAUAUAUGUGAUGUAUGAGAUGUUCAUGCUAUUGUAAUAGGAAUCACGACUUGCAUGUCGAUGAGUAUGACAACCGGCAGGAGCCAUAGGAGUUGUCUUUAUUUUUUGUAUGACCUGCGUGUCAUUGAGAAACGCCAUGUAAAUUACUUUACUUUAUUGCUAAACACGUUAGCUGUAGUAGUAGAAGUAAUAGUUGGCGAGCAACUUCAUGGAGACACGAUGAUGGAGAUCAUGAUGAUGGAGAUCAUGGUGUCAUGCCGGUGACAAGAUGAUCAUGGAGCCCCAAGAUGGAGAUCAAAGGAGCUAUGUGAUAUUGGCCAUAUCAUGUCACUAUUAUUAUUUGAUUGCAUGUGAUGUUUAUCAUGUUUUGUACAUCUUGUUUGCUUAGAACGACUGUAGUAAAUAAGAUGAUCCCUCAUAAUAAUUUCAAGAAAGUGUUCCCCCUAACUGUGCAUCGUUGCGACAGUUCGUUGUUUCGAAGCACCACGUGAUGAUCAGGUGUGAUAGAUUCCAACGUUCACAUACAACGGGUGUAAGACAGAUUUACACAUGCAAACACUUAGGUUGACUUGACGAGCCUAGCAUGUACAGACAUGGCCUCAGAACACAGAAGACCGAAAGGUCGAGCAUGAGUCGUAUAGAAGAUACGAUCAACAUGAAGAUGUUCACCGACGUUGACUAGUUCGUCUCACGUGAUGAUCGGACACGGCCUAGUUAACUCGGAUCAUGUUAUACUUAGAUGGCUGGAGGGAUGUCUAUCUGAGUGGGAGUUCAUUGAAUAAUUUGAUUAGAUGAACUUAAUUUUCAUGAACUUAGUCUAAAAUCUUUACAAUAUGUCUUGUAGAUCAAAUGGCCAACGUUGUCCUCAACUUCAACGCGUUCCUAGAGAAAACCAAGCUGAAAGACGAUGGCAGCAACUAUACGGACUGGGUCCGGAACCUGAGGAUCAUCCUCAUAGCUGCCAAGAAAGAUUAUGUCCUACAAGCACCGCUAGGUGACGCACCCGUCCCACAGAACCAAGACGUUAUGAAUGCUUGGCAGACACGUGCUGAUGAUUACUCCCUCGUUCAGUGCGGCAUGCUUUACAACUUAGAACCGGGGCUCCAAAAACGUUUUGAGAGACACGGAGCAUAUGAGAUGUUCGAAGAGCUGAAAAUGGUUUUCCAAGCUCAUGCCCGGGUCGAGAGAUAUGAAGUCUCCGACAAGUUUUUCAGCUGUAAGAUGGAGGAAAAUAGUUCUGUCAGUGAGCACAUACUCACAAUGUCUGGGUUACAUAACCGCUUGACUCAGCUGGGAGUUAAUCUCCCGGAUGACGCAGUCAUUGACAGAAUCCUUCAGUCGCUUUCACCAAGCUACAAGAGCUUUGUGAUGAACUUCAAUAUGCAGGGGAUGGAAAAGACCAUUCCCGAAUUAUUUGCAAUGCUGAAAUCAGCAGAGGUAGAAGUCAAAAAGGAACAUCAAGUGUUGAUGGUGAAUAAAACCACUAAGUUCAAGAAAGGCAAGGGUAAGAAGAACUUCAAGAAGGACGGCAAGGGAGUUGCCGCGCCCGGUAAGCAAGCUACCGGGAAGAAGCCAAAGAAUGGACCCAAGCCCGAGACUGAGUGCUUUUAUUGCAAGGGAAGUGGUCACUGGAAGCGGAACUGCCCCAAAUACUUAGCAGACAAGAAGGCCGGCAAAACAAAAGGUAUAUGUGAUAUACAUGUAAUUGAUGUGUACCUUACCAGUACUCAUAGUAGCUCCUGGGUAUUUGAUACCGGUGCAGUUGCUCACAUUUGUAACUCAAAGCAGGAGCUGCGGAAUAAGCGGAGACUGGCGAAGGACGAGGUGACGAUGCGCGUCGGGAAUGGUUCCAGGGUCGAUGUGAUCGCCGUCGGCACGCUACCUCUGCAUUUACCUACGGGAUUAGUUUUAAACCUCAAUAAUUGUUAUUUAGUGCCAGCUUUGAGCAUGAACAUUGUAUCGGGAUCUCGUUUAAUUCGAGAUGGCUACUCAUUUAAAUCCGAGAAUAAUGGUUGUUCUAUUUAUAUGAGAGAUAUGUUUUAUGGUCAUGCUCCGAUGGUGAAUGGUUUAUUCUUAAUGAAUCUCGAGCGUAAUGCUACACAUGUUCAUAGUGUGAAUACCAAAAGAUGUAAGGUUGAUAAUGAUAGUCCCACAUACUUGUGGCACUGCCGCCUUGGUCACAUAGGUGUCAAACGCAUGAAGAAGCUCCAUGCAGAUGGACUUUUAGAGUCUCUUGAUUAUGAAUCAUUUGACACGUGCGAACCAUGCCUCACGGGUAAAAUGACCAAGACUCCGUUCUCAGGAACAAUGGAGCGAGCAACCAACUUAUUGGAAAUCAUACAUACUGAUGUGUGCGGUCCAAUGAGCGUUGAGGCUCGCGGUGGCUAUCAUUAUGUUCUCACCCUCACUGAUGACUUGAGUAGAUAUGGGUAUGUCUACUUAAUGAAACACAAGUCUGAAACCUUUGAAAAGUUCAAGGAAUUUCAGAGUGAGGUUGAGAAUCAACGUGACAGAAAAAUCGAGUUUUUGCGAUCAGAUCGUGGAGGAGAAUACUUGAGUCACGAAUUUGGCACACACUUAAGAAAAUGUGGAAUAGUUUCACAACUCACGCCACCUGGAACACCUCAGUGUAAUGGUGUGUCCGAACGUCGUAAUCGCACUCUAUUAGAUAUGGUGCGAUCUAUGAUGUCUCUUACCGAUUUACUGCUAUCUUUUUGGGGCUAUGCUUUAGAGACUGCCGCAUUCACUUUAAAUAGGGCUCCGUCGAAAUCUGUUGAGACGACACCGUAUGAAUUAUGGUUUGGGAAGAAACCUAAGCUGUCAUUUCUAAAAGUUUGGGGAUGCAAUGCUUAUGUCAAGAAACUUCAACCUAAAAAGCUCGAACCCAAGUCGGAAAAAUGCGUCUUCAUAGGAUACCCUAAAGAAACUAUUGGGUAUACCUUCUACCUCAGAUCCGAAGGCAAGAUCUUUGUUGCCAAGAAUGGAUCCUUUCUAGAGAAAGAGUUUCUCUCGAAAGAAGUAAGUGGGAGGAAAGUAGAACUUGAUGAAGUAUUACCUCUUGAACCGGAAAAUGGCGCAACUCAAGAAAAUGUUCCUGAGGUGCCUGCACCGACUAGAGAGGAAGUUAAUGAUGAUGAUCAUGAAACUUCAGAUCAAGUUGCUACUGAACUUCGUAGGUCCACAAGGACACGUUCCGCACCAGAGUGGUACGGCAACCCUGUCUUGGAAAUCAUGUUGUUAGACAAUGGUGAACCUUCGAACUAUGAAGAAGCGAUGGCGGGCCCGGAUUCCGACAAAUGGCUAGAAGCCAUGAAAUCCGAGAUAGGAUCCAUGUAUGAAAAUGAAGUAUGGACUUUGACUGACUUGCCUGUUGAGCGGCGAGCCAUAGAAAAUAAAUGGAUCUUUAAGAAGAAGACAUACGCGGAUGGUAAUGUGACCAUCUAUAAAGCUCGGCUUGUCACUAAGGGUUAUCGACAAGUUCAAGGGGUUGACUACGAUGAGACUUUCUCACCGGUAGCGAAGCUAAAGUCCGUCCGAAUCAUGUUAGCAAUUGCCGCAUUCUAUGAUUAUGAGAUAUGGCAAAUGGACGUCAAAACGGCAUUCCUUAAUGGUUUCCUUAAGGAAGAAUUGUAUAUGAUGCAGCCGGAAGGUUUUGUCGAUCCUAAGAAUGCUGACAAGGUGUGCAAGCUCCAACGCUCGAUUUAUGGGCUGGUGCAAGCAUCUCGGAGUUGGAACAUUCGCUUUGAUGAGAUGAUCAAAGCGUUUGGGUUUACGCAGACUUAUGGAGAAGCCUGUGUUUACAAGAAAGUGAGUGGGAGCUCUGUAGCAUUUCUCAUAUUAUAUGUAGAUGGCAUACUUUUGAUGGGAAAUGAUAUAGAACUCUUGGACAGCAUUAAGGCCUACUUGAAUAAGAGUUUUUCAAUGAAGGACCUUGGAGAAGCUGCAUAUAUAUUAGGCAUCAAGAUCUAUAGAGAUAGAUCAAGACGCCUCAUAGGUCUUUCACAAAGCACAUACCUUGAUAAGAUAUUGAAGAAAUUCAAUAUGGAUCAGUCUAAGAAGGGGUUGUUGCCUGUAUUACAAGGUGUGAAAUUGAGCUCAGCUCAAUGUCCGACCACGGCAGAAGAUAUAGAAGAGAUGAGUGUCAUCUCCUAUGCCUCAGCCAUAGGUUCUAUUAUGUAUGCCAUGCUGUGUACCAGACCUGAUGUAAACCUUGCCGUAAGUUUGGUAGGAAGGUACCAAAGUAAUCCCGGCAAGGAACACUAGACAGCGGUCAAGAAUAUCCUGAAGUACCUGAAAAGGACUAAGGAAAUGUUUCUCGUUUAUGGAGGUGACGAAGAGCUCGUCGUAAAAGGUUACGUCGACGCUAGCUUCGACACAGAUCUGGAUUACUCCAAGUCACAAACCGGAUACGUGUAUAUUUUGAAUGGUGGGGCAGUAAGCUGGUGCAGUUGCGAGCAGAGUGUCAUGGCGGGAUCUACAUGUGAAGCGGAGUACAUGGCAGCCUCGGAGGCAGCGCAUGAAGCAAUUUGGGUGAAGGAGUUCAUCACCGACCUAGGAGUCAUACCCAAUGCGUCGGGGCCAAUCAAACUCUUCUGUGACAACACUGGAGCUAUUGCACUUGCCAAGGAGCCCAGGUUUCACAAGAAGACCAGGCACAUCAAGCGUCGCUUCAACUCCAUUCGUGAAAAUGUUCAAGAUGGAGACAUAGAUAUUUGUAAAGUACAUACGGACCUGAAUGUAGCAAAUCCGUUGACUAAACCUCUCCCUAGAGCAAAACAUGAUCAACACCAGAAUUCUAUGGGUGUUCGAUUCAUCACAAUGUAACUAGAUUAUUGACUCUAGUGCAAGUGGGAGACUGUUGGAAAUAUGCCCUAGAGGCAAUAAUAAAAGCAUUAUUAUUAUAUUUCCUUGUUCAUGAUAAUUGUCUUUAUUCAUGCUAUAAUUGUGUUAUCCGGAAAUCGUAAUACAUGUGUGAAUAAUAGACACCAACAUGUCCCUAGUAAGCCUCUAGUUGACUAGCUCGUUGAUCAACAGAUAGUCAUGGUUUCUUGACUAUGGACAUUGGAUGUCAUUGAUAACGAGAUCACAUCAUUAGGAGAAUGAUGUGAUGGACAAGACCCAAUCCUAAACAUAGCAUAAGAUCGUAUAGCUUGUUUGCUAGAGUUUUUCCAAUGUCAAGUAUCCUUUCCUUAGACCAUGAGAUCGUGUAACUCCCGGAUACCGUAGGAGUGCUUUGGGUGUACCAAACGUCACAACGUAACUGGGUGACUAUAAAGGUAUACUACGGGUAUCUCCGAAAGUGUCUGUUGGGUUGACACGGAUCAAGACUGGGAUUUGUCACUCCGUGUGACGGAGAGGUAUCACUGGGCCCACUCGGUAAUGCAUCAUCAUUAUGAGCUCAAAGUGACCAAGUGUCUGGUCACGGGAUCAUGCAUUAUGGUACGAGUAAAGUGACUUGCCGGUAACGAGAUUGAACAAGGUAUUGGGAUACUGACGAUCGAAUCUCGGGCAAGUAGCAUACCGAUUGACAAAGGGAAUUGUAUACGGGGUUGCUUGAAUCCUCGACAUCGUGGUUCAUCCGAUGAGAUCAUCGAGGAGCAUGUGGGAGCCAACAUGGAUAUCCAGAUCCGCUGUUGGUUAUUGACUGGAGAGCGAUCUCGGUCAUGUCUACAUGUCUCCCGAACCCGUAGGGUCUACACACUUAAGGUUUGGUGACGCUAGGGUUGUAGGGAUAUGUAUAUGCAGUAACCCGAAUGUUGUUCAGAGUCCCGGAUGAGAUCCCGGAAGUCACGAGGAGUUCCGGAAUGGUCCGGAGGUAAAGAAUUAUAUAUAGGAAGUGCUAUUUCGGCCGUCGGGACAAGUUUCGGGGUCACCGGUAUUGUACUGGGACCACCGGAAGGGUCCCGGGGGUCCACCGGGUGGGGCCACCUAUCCCGGAGGGCCCCAUGGGCUGAAGUGGGAAGGGAUCCAGCCCAAAGUGGGCUGGGGCGCCACUUCCCCUAGGGCCCAUGCGCCUAGGGUGGGGGAAACCCUAAAGGGGGGGCGCCCCCUUGCUUGGGGGGCAAGCCCCCCACCCCUUGGCCGCCGCCCCCCUAGGAGAUUGCAUCUCCUAGGGCCGGCGCCCCCCUAGGCCCCCCUAUAUAUAGUGGGGGGGAUGGAGGACCUCUUACCUUGGCCUUUGGUGCCUCCCUCUUCCUCUCCAACACAUCCUCCUCCUCCAUAGAGCUUGGCGAAGCCCUGCCGGAGUACUGCUGCUCCAUCACCACCACGCCGUCGUGCUGCUGCUGGAGCCAACUUCCUCAACCUCUCCUUGCCCCUUGCUGGAUCAAGAAGAAGGAGACGUCACGCUGACCGUACGUGUGUUGAACGCGGAGGUGCCGUCCGUUUGGCGCUAGGAUCUCCGGUGAUUUGGAUUACGUCGAGUACGACUCCCUCAUCCCCGUUCUUUGAACGCUUCCGCUCGCGAUCUACAAAGGUAUGUAGAUGCAUCCGACCACUCAUUGUUAGAUGAACUCAUAGAUGGAUCUUGGUGAAACCUUAGGAAAUUUUUUGUUUUCUGCAACGUUCCCCAACACGGUAUUCAUGGCAUCCCGGAAGCUACGACACUACUUUCAAGAGUGUUCAAUAACAGUAGCCUCGGAAGUACCACUUAACGACAUUAUAUACAACCGUGACGCAACGGGCCGGAUUGUGAAAUGGGCCAUCGAGCUCCUCCCGUUCGACAUAACUUAUAAGCCACGACGAGCCAUCAAGUCACAAGUUUUGGGCGACUUCGUCGCAGAAUGGACGGAGGCCGAACUCCCUAGAGAGUACGGCACAUAUUCAAAUUGGAUCAUGCAUUUCGACGGCUCCAAAAUGUUGGCUGGACUGGGGGCUGGCGUCGUUUUGACGUCCCCCACAGGAGACACAGUUUAAUACGUACUACAGAUUAUGUACACGGACUCCAACAAUGCAGCCGAAUAUGAGGCCCUUCUACAUGGUCUCCGGAUGGCAGUAUCCAUGGGCAUCCAACGCCUAGAGGUGCGCGGGGACUCGAACCUUGCAAUCUCCCAAAUAAAUGGAGACUUCGAUGCCAAGGAUCCGAAAAUGGCAGCUUACCGCAAUGCCGUCCUAAAAAUGUCAGCUUGGUUCGAGGGACUUGAAUUUCACCAUAUAGCCCGGGAAAAUAAUCAGGCGGCAGAUGUCCUGGCACGCAUCGGCGCAAAACGCGAUGUAGUCCCCCCAACAUCUUCUUGGAAAGGCCUUUCAAGCCAUCCGUGGCAUGGGAAGGGGAGCCGAACAAUAACAGCCAUGAUCCAACCGCACUGCCCGACACCGAACAUUCGGACACAAUCGGAGGCUCUGCCAUUGGAAUAACACCUUCAGCCCACGUAAUAAUGGCCGUCAUCGCCCCAUGGACAGAACCAUUCCUCGCCUACCUUACUAGGCAGGAACUCCCCGAGGACCAAAAUGAGGCAUGCUGCAUAGUGCAGCGAUCCAAAGCCUACAGAGUCCACGAGGGAGAGCUUUAUAAGAAAAGCACUACCGGAGUCCUUCAAAGGUGCAUCUCCGAAGAGGAGGGGCGGAAUCUCCUGGCUGAAAUCCAUGCUGGACUCGGCGGUCAUCACGCUGCAGCCCGGUCCCUGGUAAGCAAGGCCUUCCGUACAGGCUUUUAUUGGCUGACGGCCCGGGCAGACGCUCAGGACUUAGUCCAACGAUGCACCGGCUGCCAGCUCUUUGCAAACCAAAGCCAUAUGCCACCCACCGCCCUCCAAACUAUCCCCAUCACUUGGCCCUUUGCGGUCUGGGGGCUUGAUAUGGUUGGACCCCUUAAAGGCGGAACCCACAUGCACAAAUACUUACUGGUCAUGGUGGAUAAGUUCACCAAAUGGAUAGAAGCCAAGCCUGUUAAGACGGCCGAAUCCGGACCUGUGAUAGACUUCAUAUCCGGGGUUGUACACCAUUACGGGGUCCCCCACAGCAUCAUCACUGAUAAUGGCACGAACUUUACGGCCGACGAGGUAAAACUCUGGUGCAAAAACAUGGUCAUAAAGCUCGAUUAUGCUUCCGUCUAUCACCCACAAACUAACGACCAGGUCGAACGUGCAAAUGGUCUUAUCAUGAGCGGCAUCAAACCCAGACUAGUGCGGUCCCUCAAGGAAUCUAACACGCACUGGGUAGAGGAGCUCGACUCCGUACUCUGGGGGCUGCGGACCACGCCGAAUCGCACCAUCGGAUACACACCAUUCUUCAUGGUGUACGGCGCAGAGGCAGUUCUGCCUUGCGACAUAAUUCAUGACUCACCUCGAGUGCGCAUGUACGAGGAAAGAGAAGCCGAGCUCGAUUGGCAGGACAGUUUGGACGCAUUAGAGGAGGAGCGUGACGUGGCGAAAGCCCGUUCCGCAUUCUAUCAACAGCAAGCUCGAAGAUACCAAAGCAGAGAAGUACGGGCCAAAAAUUACAACGUUGGCGAAUUAGUUCUACGCCUGCCGAACAAGAAAAAGGACAAACUCAAGCCCAAGUGGGAAGGUCCCUUCAUAAUUGACCAAGUCCUGACUGGUGGAGCGUACCGCCUGCGAAACGCAUCGGAUAACCGACUCGAUCCGAACCCAUGUAACGCAGCCCAUCUCCGAAGAUUCUAUGCCUAGCGCCGGAUCCUGUGUUCGUCUCCUUACUCUAUCCAUUUUUUAUAUACUGUUCGUCUUACAUUUCUCUCCUUCUCCCUUUUUCUCUCUCUUAUAACCUUUAAAGGCUCACAAAUUGACGCGCUAUCCGCGCUCAGUAAACCUAGGGGCUUCAUUAAACAGAAGCUUAUUUAUACGGGCUUCAUGCCUAACACAUGUGUCAAACUUCCGCAUGUACCUUUUAUUCACCAUUAUAUGCAUCAAUAUGACUUAAGUUUUGGCCAAGCUGGGUUGCCUGGCUCCUGUGCUUACCCAUACGUUCCCGAUUAUUCGGCUAGGUGGUAAAGGGAGCACCUCUACGAUUGUUACUGCCGGAUCAGCCGGACGUGUACCUCAGACUGGGUGAAGCCGAAAGCUAGCGUUCUUAAGAGAAUAUUCGGUCGGUGAAUUAAAGAUGAUCUUUUUCUUUAUAUAUGUGCCCCCAGGCGUUUUUCCUGCGUUUCUUUUCGCAGCAUGGACAUGCACUUUAGGGCAUGCCCCCCAGGGAAAGGAACCCCUAACGGAACUAUUCUCUCAGGAAGAUGUUUCUUACUAACCAUGUAAUAUAACAUAACUAGUCGGGCACUUGUCUGUUCACGCACUAAUGACCCCUACGCCUGGUCUCCACGCAUUCCCCGGUUCCUAUAUAACCGCAUGGGAAUUCGGACACACUCCGGACCGUCAGGCCCCGAGGUUGAAGCGAAAAGGUCGGCCAUGACAAAUGAUCUACAAUCCGGCUAGAAGGCAUUAUACAUGUCAAUUCGAUUACAUAGUCAUUUUGACUGAUUGUAUUCCUCUUCAAUACCAUCUAACAGGCUAUCUAAUUUACAGUCCUGCUGGGAGUACUUUGCGGCCAACUCUACUUGGCCGUACACUAAGCUUAUAGGGAUCUCCUUCCCAUCGGGCCCUAUAGGACCGACCUCGGCCAUGUGGUUGGGGUCAGCCUUUGAAUACCGCGUCUUCACCAUGGCCUAGGCCUCCUUAGCGCCUUGACGGCAAGCUGAUAUCUUCCACAAUUGGAAGCGCCGCCGUGCUCGCUUUAGCUUCUCCGCAAGCUCUCCAAUACCUUCGGGCAUGGAGACGGAUGGCCACAGGGCCUGGGUGACGCCUCGCAUCGCCUGCCGAACUCGAUCGAGCAGUUGCGAGAGCUCGGGAAGAAGGUCACCCGUAGAACCGGGCAUCUCCUCCGCUGGACGACCUGUUAACACACCUACAGACAUUGCUCUAUCAGUCGACUUCCCCGCCGAACUUUCUUUCAAAAGGUUCGUUCAAGCACUUACUAAAUAUGCCGCGCUGAAGCCGCUGAUUCUCCUCCACGGAGUCUGAUAGCUGGGCACGAACAUCUUUCAGCUCGACGCCCAGCCGGGUGUUGGCAUCUUGGAGAAUGUUCUUCUCCCCCAUCACCUUUAAUAGCACCCUCUCACCAGCCUUUAGCUGGCAUAGGAGAUGUUGCUUUUCCGGAUUCAAUCCGGCACCAUCUGCAAUUUUAUUUGUCAGAUUCGCACCAAAGCCGUGCUUCGCAAAAUACUUAUCUUUCGAAAUGUAUAUUACCAGAGGGGGCCUCCUUAGGCUCCCCUGCCGCGGCUAGUGCGGCCUCCAGUUGGGCUUUGCACUCUUCCAGCUCCUGGGACAGUAGGGAAUUCUUUUCUAUAAGAACCUGCAUAUCAAAUGAUCCUUAAACCAGUUAUUCUAACUGUUUCAAGUCUCGGGGGCUACUGCUACAUAUAUAUUUACUAAAAUUUUCUUACCCGUAUAUCUUUUACAUAUUGCUCCAUGGCUCUGGCUAGACCAUUUUGAGCGGCACGGAGGUGCGCAUCUCCCAAAUUGAAGGCAUCUAACGCCUCUCGGGAGAAGCAAGCAUCGCGAAGAAUUGUCCGGCGACGCCUGUGGUUCAUGGCACUUUCCACCUCAGAGUUGGUGGCAGACAACCCGUCCGCAUCCUCCGUCGGAGGAACGUCCGGCACGCGCCUUGCGUUCGCCUCCGCCCCCGAACCAAGCUUUGGAGCCUGGCUGGUGGAGGUGCUAUUGGCAGCCUCUCCGGAUAUAGUUCGGCGAGGUCUCUUUGUCCUGAAGAGGGCACGAGUGUCAAAUGUGCCUCGAAGGUAUAACAACUGGGAUAGAGGGGCGCGCCAUACCUUUGCGCUGAUGCCUCGGUCCGGACUACACCUCUUUUCUGCCCACGGCGCCCUGCGGCCCCUCGUUGGCUUGUCGCCGCAGGUUCGGCCUUCCGCCUCAACAACCUCCCCUGCAAAGUUCGGUUGCAAUCAGGAAAUUGAACACGCAUGGACGGACCCCUAUCCGGGGUACUGGGACUUCGAUCUCAGGUACCUGGGGCGUCGGGAUUAGCCCUGGGUAAUCGGCCGUAAUGGCCACCAAGGUGUUGUCCUCGCUCAAUUGAUGGAACACUCCAUCAAUCAGCUCCACAGAUAUGUCCGGAUCCUCUUGAGAGGCCGGGUCGAGAGACCGUCCUGGGUCCUCGGGUUGUGGAGGCGGGCUGCUUAUUUCCUUAACAGCCCGGCGCAGUUCCUGCGUUGAGGUCAUCAGACUAAGUAUUUAACAAUGGGAACACUAAACGGAUGAGCAAGUAGAUGCGACCACUUACCCAGCUUGGGGGAUUGUGCAUAGAUAAUCCACCCUGUGGGUUGACGCGGAGAAAUUCCUCCUCUUCUCCCUUGUACAAAGUGGACAAGAUCUUUAAUAGAGCGGCAACUGAAUUUGGCCCUUUGCGGCCGUAGCGGGUGGCAUCGUCUUCCUCGUUGAAAUCCCACAUGGGGUGGCUUCUAUACUGAAGCGGCUGCACCCCCCGCAUGAUGCAUUCGGCCAUAACUCCGAUCAUGGUUAGUCCGGAAUGGGCCAACAAUCUUAUUCGGCCCAUCAGGUAAAUGAUGUUCCUGUCACUUUCCCUUUGAGGGCUCCGUGAACGCCAGCUUAGGCGCUUCUUUAAGGGAGCACUAUCGAAUUCUGGGAGGCCGACCGGACAGGAUCCGGCAGCGGGACGUCUUCUAUAUAGAAUCAUUCCGAGGGCCAAUCUUCGGACACCUUCUUUGGGGUUCCGGACAGAUAUCCGGUACCGGCGAUGCGCCAUACUUCGGCUCCGCCCACUUGAUACAUUGACCCUUUCUUGGAACGGGGCACGAGGCAAAAUAGCUCCUUCCACAGUUUGAAGUGAGCUUCAAUACCCAAGAACAGCUCGCAAAGGGCCACAAAGCCCGCGAUAUGCAAUACUGAGGCAGGCGUGAGAUGAUGUAGCUGGAGGCCGUAGAACUCCAGCAGCCCCCGGAGAAAUGGGUGGAUGGGAAAUCCUAGCCCCCUUAUUAAGUAAGGGACAAGGCACACCCUCUCUCCUUUGGAUGGAUUAGGGGCAUUCUCUGCUUGCUCUCCGCCUUUGUAGACGGCAAGACCGGCUCGAACCGGGACCAUAUAGGCCGGGGGGAGAAAUCCCUUGGUCUGGAGCGUCACUAGCUCGCUAUGCGGAGUGGAACAUCUCUCCCAAUAUCCAGGCUUAGGGCUGGAACGGCGAGCGGAGGAGUUGCGGCGGCUGGCCAUGGUGGAAUGGACCUUUGUCGGAUGCGCUCUGAUGAACACUCGUGGAGGGGAGAAGGUGUGGGUUGAAUCUAAAUCCUCGUCCCCUUAAAUAGGGCAGCUCAUUUACGCGGCUAGGGGUGUGAACGAAAAAACACUCAGACUUCUCAUAUUCGUUUGGCACGUGGGAAACGACCAUUAUUGGGCGUAGAAGCCAAGGAGCGCAACAUCUACAAGAAACCGGACUUUAUUCAAACAGGUACACGGAAUUUGGAGGAGAACCCGCAUUGCAAUGUCGAAGACAAUCUGCGCGCCGGACUUAUCGUCAUUGAAGCCUGGUUCGGGGGCUACUGAGGGAGUCCUGGAUUAGGGGGUGUUCGGAUAGCCGAACUAUACCUUCAGUCGGACUCCUGGACUAUGAAGAUACAAGAUUGAAGACUUCGUCCCGUGUCCGAAAGGGACUUUCCUUGACGUGGAAGGCAAGCUUGGCGAUAUGGAUGUUCAGAUCUCCUACCAUUGUAACCGACUCUAUGUAACCCUAACCCUCUCCGGUGUCUAUAUAAACCGGAGGGUUUUAGUCCGUAGGACAACAUACACAUCAACAAUCAUACCAUAGGCUAGCUUUUAGGGUUUAGCCUCUCCGAUCUUGUGGUAGAUCUACUCUUGUAUUACCCAUAUCAUCAAUAUUAAUCAAGCAGGACGUAGGGUUUUACCUCCAUCAAGAGGGUCCGAACCUGGAUAAAACUUCAUGUCCCUUGCCUCCUGUUACCAUCCGGCCUAGAGGCACAGUUCGGGACCCCCUACCCGAGAUCCGCCGGUUUUGACACCAACACUCGUCCACAUAGCAGUUGCCAGACGAGCCACCAACGACCACCGCUACCAACCACGGGUUCAUCCAACCUGAACAAAUUCAAGAAUGGUACUCCCCAACAAAGAACAAGGCAAAACUUCCCACCUCACCAAGCCAUACAUGUCUGGCAUGUUAUAAUUAUUCACGUCAUCUUUCUUAGACAAACCCAUGGCAUUACCUUGUCAUCUCAUGCAUGUGGUAUAUAGGAUUAUCGUUGGUGGUACUCAUUGAUCGUUGGGAUUUGGAUUAAAGGGUGAAAAUAAGAAAAUGAGAUGCCAUGACAUGCCGUAUUCAGGUACUGUAUGGCCUCCUUGAACCGGUUUUUGUCCGGAUGGUCGGCCGGGAAAUCGGUCUUGGCCAACCUCUGAGCAGUUGCGAGCAUGUUCUUUGCCGGAGUGCGGUACGAGGAAGAGUUGUGUGAUGCGGCGCUCCUCAUGUCUUCCUUCAUCCGCCUUGCCCUUCAUCGCCAGCGCGACCUUACUUGUCGCGUGUAUGGUCAUCUUUGCCGUUGUGGCGGUCUUGAGUGAGGCCUGAAUUGCUUCUAUUUCCUGCUCAACAGCCUGGACUUGUUCCCAUGUGUUGUACAGCUCAUCUGCCCCUGUGCUCCAGGCGGCGCUUCUCCUUCAAAGCAUUGCCUACAGCCUCCAGGACGCGCAUGCGAGCAUGGUCGCGCCUCGGUCUACCCAGAAGUAUGUCCAAUGCCUUAAUAUCCCCGUUGGUUCCCCUGUCGGUGAGCUUGCUGGCAUAUGGGAUAUAAAAGGGAUUGAAAUAUAUGUAUAGCUUGUGUCUAGGAUCGUUUCUUUCUAAAGACACCAAAAAUAUCUCUCUCCUCCUGCAUUAUUCCAUCUGAGUAUGGUGCACCGGUACAAGGCAAAUCAUUGGGUGAGGCUUGAACCAUCCAACCAAUAACUCGGCCCACUUUACGAACAAUGUUGGUACACCAUCCCUCUCUAUUUUAAAAUUGAGCUCCUAAUGCGGUAUCUACGUUAAGCCACAUCACUCUGAAAACAACACUAGUUGGAUUAUAUCGCCUCAAUCAGGUCUACAAGAUCGUGAUAGUUGGGGCCUAUGAAUUGUUGUGUUCUUUUGUCAAAAUACACACCUCUUAUUGAAAGGGUGUCUUUUUGUGAAAAAGACACAUCCCAUGGUGAAAAAAGCCUUUUCAUAGGAAGUCACUCCCUUGAUGAAAAGGCCUCUUGGUGGAAAGACACACCCCUUUGCUUGAAAUGAUUUAUCUUCAUAGUAAGACAUAUUAGAAAAUAAUGAAAAGAAGUAUAAUAAGUGUCGAUCAACAAGUUUUUUACGGAACAAAUUUAUAACUUCCCAGAAGAUUCAGCCAUUGAAUUUGUCUUAGCUAUGCCAGAAAACUAAUGUACCAAAAAAUAAUAUGCAUUACAACGACAUUUGAACUUUGCUUACUGUAUUUUGAAAUAAAACUCACUAGAAAGAAAUUCUCGUUAAAUUCAUCUCUUCUAAUAUACCAGAGCCUUUUCAACACCGUCAGAUUCAUCUCUGAGCAACCGGCGAUCGCAAGGGGGCUGCGGGCCUGCCCCACCGUGCAGGCUUGCGGUGCACGUCAGGAGCCUGUGCUUGACCGAGAUGACGCGAACCUCCAGCCACACUGCGCCUCCGUCGCGCUUCUCGUCGGCCAUCUGCUCGGCCAACUCAGUCGGAAGGCCGACGCCUCCGCUCGCCGCGAAGAUGGCCACCUGCCCGGUACUGUUGACCGGCACACAGAGCUCCUGCACGGCACCGGUGGCGAGCGGGACGCCCCGAUACAGGACGACUGCUUCGCCGCCGACGCACUGCUCGUCGCGAAUACCGGAGUCGAUGCUCAAGGUGAGGUUGAACGCCCGGGGGACGCGGGAGUCGAGUCCGGCCGCGCCGUCCACGACGACUGAUAGCUCGGGUAGCAGGCGAGAGAAGUCCGUGGUUUUAAGGUCGUACAAGCUUAAAACAGUCACGUCGAUGAGUAGCGCGGCAGUCACAAUGGCCAAAACGAAAUCGGUAAGUGUGCCCUCGUAGAGGCGGCACGGCGGCGGAAGAUGCUUGUCGCUCUUGUCGACUAGGAGCUUUUCCUCCAUGGUCGUGGUCUCUCUCUAUAUAUAUCUCUAUCUACCUAUCUCUUCGGUGCUGUAUAUAACACAAGGCAGUCCGGGCAGGCCAAGACACCAAGGUAACCAACCCAGGUUAAUUAGGAAGCGUACAUGGAGAGUUAUCCUAUUCAUAGUAGGAAAACCUAGAUCUUACUAUCCGAGAUCAAGAAUUUGAAUGCGACUCUGUUUUUUGGAGUCCCCUUUUAUCUUUAAAUUUGCAGGGGCAUGGGAGAUAGCAUAUUGUAACGGGUCCUAUUGUAAUCACGAAAACCUUGUGUUCCGUUUCGAAAAAAAAAACGAAAACCUUGUGCUGUGCAAUGAACAGGCUGGAAGUGACAUGGCGGUGGGUGAUGCAUGGAUGCAGAGCGCGGUAGGGGAUCAGCAGGUCGAUGUGGAUAACAAGCUGUUGUUCCACCAAGCAGGCUGGGUUGCAACUUUUGCAAGUGCACUAGCUAGUUCUACUUCUAUGGUGACAUAUACUCCACAGAGGCCGGCGGCCAGAUGGCUCAAGUGCAGGGGGUAGCUUGGUGCGCAUAGUUCUCCACGGGCUAGAUCCUAGUUCAUGCGAUUCGAUCUCCACAGGGUUAAGGAUACAUCCUUCGCAAUUCGCAUGGAGCUCUACUGUCCUCCGCCAAGCGGCGCUGCCCGUCCGAAGAGUCUUCAGGCUCGAGUCUUGACCCAAUUGCGGCACCGGAUGAUCAGCUUGAUGAGAAGGCCGACAAGCUCUCGCAACCGAAAUACACUAUUUACAGUCCAGGACAGCUGUAGCAAGCAGGCAGCAAACACUUGGCAUCAGUAAGUCAAAUGCCACAAGCGAAUGCAUGGUAAGCGAGAGUAAGAGACAAUACUGCACUAUUUACUGUGUCCUGCUGCAGUAGAUACUAAUUAAGUGCUAAAAGUGGCUGACAAAAUUAACCUUCCAGUAAAAAUUCUUGUCGAUGAAUACCGCCCAGAAUCCGCAUCUUUCGCCUUGUUUUGUAUAUUGCUCCACACAUAUAACAUUCAAGAUCCAAAAUAUCUCGGGAAGCACCGCAGCGAGGGCAACGGUCAAGGCGAAAUAGGAUAACUCUGGCACCCACUGCCCCUGUCAAAGUUCAUUGGAGCCAGAGACACAUUACAUAAUUUGCUUAUUUUAUCUCGAGUAAAUCACACAAACUAUAUAUUGCCUCCGUUUCUAAACACGUGUCAUUCUAGCAUGACUCCGACCAUGGAAUAUAUGGACAAUACUACAUUAUCCUUUUCAAUUCACUCACUCAUUGCUUUAGGAUGUACUCUGUAUAUGUGUGGAAACGACAUCUCAAAAAAGUAUGCUUUGGAGAUGAAUGAGGAUGGUAAUUUUAUCUGUCUUGUUAUGUACAAGGAAUGCAUAGAAGAGACCAUAUACUAUGUACCCUAUUUAAUUAGCUAAUUUUAUAGCUGUGUUUGUAUAACAUUAUAGUAAUAGUCCAUAAUCGGAACUUACUAAGACUAUAAUUAGUCAGGAGUGAAGCAAGUACUUUUUAUUGAAGCAAAGUGCACAUAUAUAUUUUAGAAUGGAAAUUUGAAACUACUAGCAUCACGUUAACUUACCAUUGAGAUCCUCCUGCAUAGGUUGCCAGCAGCUGCUAACAAAAUAGCCAUCCAACCGGCCACUCGCAACCUAUUCCAGCAGACUUCAACGGCCAAUGUGAAGUUGGAGACCAAUAAGCAUACAAUUGCACUGAUCCCGAAGCAAAGCAAGGUCUGCAGAGAAGAACUAGUCUAAUGACUACCACUUGACAAUUAAAUGAAAUGAAUCAACUAUGCAAUGCUAUGGUAUGCACGUACCUUCUGAAAGUCGAUGAAGCAUAGGUAUAUUAGCCAGACCAUGUUGGAAACAAGGGCAGCUCCUAUCACAAUCUUCAUGCAUAGGUCAGCUUCACGCCAUGGGCAAUUGUCUUUCUCUGUAUCCGGCGGCCUAUUGCUCCCACAGGUAAAUGCAUAAAAGUAUAUCCAAGCAAUGGACGCCAACAAAGAUAAAGCGAACCAGCUUAUCAGCCAGCCGCUCACAUGUACGCGGGACCCAUCUUCAUUACGUCUCCUGAGUCUAAAGACUCUCCAACUGCCAAUCAACACAUUGAAAGAAACUCAAGUAAUUAACCAGAAAAUAAUCAAUCCUGAUAGAUCUAGUUGAGAUGUAUGAUAUAACUAAUAAAUCAUUAUACCCCGGGGACACAAGAAGCCAGCAGACACAAACAAAACCUGUACGUGAUACAAAGGUAGUGAAAGUCAAUAGCCAUCAAGAUUGAUACAAAGAACAAUAAUAACUACCAGUUCUUAUAUGAAAGAAACAGGUUCUAUACCAGACAGCGUAAAUCUCAUCUCAUAUAUCAUAGUGCUUGCUAAAAGUGAAAAAGUCUUCUGUGGGCCCAAUCAACGCUGACAAAAAAAACACAAAAUCCAUAAUACCACAAAGAUGUGAGUAUCAGAAUUACAUCAUCAAGCCCCUUAAAGGCUUAAACAACCACAAGGAACUCAAUUGGUAAGCCAAAGUACGAAAUUCGAAGUCUGGUCAUAUUAAGUGGGACAGAAAACAGAUCUUUAGGAACUAAAAUAAAAGGUAUGUAGUUUUUUUUUUCCUUAAAAAAAGUCUACAGUGAGCCUUUUUUUUUUCCUUUGAGUCUGAUUCUUUUAGGGGAUUUCUUAAAUUCUGAUGGGCAAACAAAAUGGACAAGUUUGAAACCUUACCAACAAGAUCCAAUUUGAAAACAAACACGUGUACAGUAACAUGCUAUUAUAUCAAACAUACAAUUUGCACGAAUCCAAUAAGAAAUAUACUCAAAAGUAGAAAUUGCAGAGAGUAUCUUUAUUGAUUCAUAUAAUAAGCAAAGUACAAUUACACGAGAAAGUGAAAUCUGAAGAAGAAAUAAAUUACAAGCACAAUACUCUGUUCUCAUUUACAAUUCAAGCUCCUUUUGGAGACUGGGUUUGCUAUGAACAUAGAACAAAAAAAACCUGGAAAGUUGCAGAAUGAAAAGUGUCGAUAAAGGUUUUCCAUCUUCGUGAUCUAAAGCUCUAAUUCCUUCCACAAGUUGCCUUUCAAAAAUAUCCAGGAAUUCGAUAGUUAAAGUGGCAAUCCAAGUUCCAUUCUCUUUUACGAUUCAAAGUCUCAUGGAGAUGUGAUUUGUUUAUCAACUUUCAAAACAGGAACUAGAAAGUUGAUGAAAUGAUAAGCGCACAUAAGUUUUCCAUCCUCAUGACCUAAAGUUCCACAAGUUGCCUUCCAAAAGUUUUGAGAAUUUGACAUUUGAACUGACAUCCCGAGUUCCAUUCUUGUUGUCUUUGAAUAAGUCGUGAAAACACUUUGACAACAAAUAUUCUUGAUGGCAUUUUCGAUAUAUCAAAAAUUGCGACAACAAGAGUUCCAUUCUCAUUGUAUACUGAUCUUGGUUCAAAUAACCGAGCUUAAAAUAUUCGAUAGCAUUCCAGCCUUCACAGUAAAAAACACAAAAGUCAAUAAAAGAAUAUAGUAUAAGAAUAAAAGAUAAUGAUCAAAUUUUGCAUACCCCAAACCUAAGGUUGUAAAUUAUGAUCGAGUAGUGCUGUCCAAACGAUCUGAGAUGAAAGGACUCCUUGCGUGCUUAUCAAGAGCAGCAGGAGGAAAUAGAUCUGGGAUAGAGCGCAGAUGUCUCAAGCGUUUUGUGACCAACAACACUAACAAUGAAAAGCAAACCAUGAGUAACAGACCAAAUGCUGACAACAACAGACGAAAUACAAUUAGUCUUGUAUUGAGCUAAAAGACAGACCUCAAACCUCAGGCCAGUAUAUUAUAUUCCUUCUAUUGCAGGGACGCUGGCACAAAAGAGAGUAUCCAUAAGCAACAAGGCAAAUUCUUAAAACAAUAAUAUAUACUCCCUCCGUUCCUAAAUAUUUGUCUUUUUAGGGAUUUUAAAUGGAAUAGCACAUAUGGAUGUAUAUAGACAUAUUUUAGAGUGUAGAUUCACUCAUUUUGCUCCGUAUGUAGUCACUUGUUGAAAUCUAGAAAGACAAAUAUUUAGGAACGGAGGUAGUACAAAGCAACACACAGUAGUAGCUCCAAUACAAAGCAGCAACCAUCACUGUAGAGUAGUCUUAAUUACUACUUCCUCCGUUCACAACUAUAAGAUGUUAUGGAUAUUUCAAUAUGGACUACAUAAGUGAACAAACACACUAAAACGUGUCUACAUACAUCCGAUUCAGAAAAAAGUUAGAACAUCUUAUAUUUGUGAACAGAGGGAUUAUUUGUUUUACAUGUCCUAUUGGGAUGCGUGUCUUUGACUCAGUUGUACCAUCAUGGAGUAACACGCUGCACAAGUAUAAUAUAUGCGGGGAGUAGAUACACAUAGUUCAGACAGCAAUUCUAAACCUUACUGAUUUCCAGAACACAUACCGCAAGUUAAACUGUAACUCUGAAAAUAAGCAGCUUGAGAAAUGGAAUUCUUGAACAUCUCGGAUAGAAUACACUAGUUCAGGUUAUAGCUUCACUUCAUGCAAACACACAAUAUCUACAAUGUCCUAAUGCAACUCUGUGAGAAAGAGAAAUUUAUUACUAGCUGCAUCAGAACUGAAGAACUGACUAUUGACUAAUGACUACUCUUAAGUAGUCUGAGCACUGUUCACGGCAUAGACUAAGAUCACAGGGAUCAGGGGAAACCCGCUGCACUUCGUAAGCAACAUGGGCAUGAACUUGGUUGCAGCUAAAGCACUCCCUGACUGCGGUAAGUACAUCACAGCAGGUUUUGUUAAAGAAAGUGCAGAAACAUGUAAAAGUUGCAAGUAUUUAGUCACUAAAUUAGGCAAUUUAUUCUAUCUAUAAUGAGCAUCCGUGGAGGUCCAUUUCGUGUAAAAACUAAAAGUAGUGCACUAGGGCCUGACGCCCCCGCACCUCCUGGCUCCUGCUUCUUCUUCCUCCCCCGCUCCUAUUCCCCACCGACGACCACCGCGUCCUCUCGCCCACCACCGCCUCCCUUCUGCUCCAAGAAAACGAAUGCACUAGGGCUUGACGCCUCCGCACCUCCUGGUUCCUCCCCCGCUCCUCUUACCCACCCACGCCCACCACCGCCUCCUUCUGCUGCGCACCCCCCUCCCCCCUCCCCUGCUUCCGCGCCGCUCGGAUUCUCUCCACGAGCACAACCUCGAUGAUCUGCCGCCGCCGGCAGCGGCGCCGUCGGGUCGAACCGAACGUUCCAUCGGUAGGUUUCCCCAGACAAAACGGAGAGAACGGAAGAGCAAGUACCUGCCAGAGCAGGCGGCGCUCGGCGCGGCGAGGGUGAGGGUCCGUGUCGGGGGCGGUCAGCGGGUCGUGUCCGCGGCUGAGGAAGGCGGGGGCGGCCGGCGGGUCGUCUCCGCGGCUGAGGAAGGCGGGUCGUCUCCGCCGCUGAGGAAGGCGGGUCGUCUGCGCGGCGCGGCGGCGAGGCAGACCCGAAUGCGCGCGGCGCGUGGGCGUGGUAUGCUAUGGAGACGAGCCGUUGUGUUCCGCAAUAUACGUGGAGUUGCCUCUAGCUUGGGUCUGGGCCGGCCGAUUAGAGGUCUGGGACUGGGUGGAUCGGUCUGACUUGGGUCAAUAUUUUGCGUUCAUGGGCCAACAAGUCAGCUGUACUUGGGCCGAGUCUCGCACAUUUUCACUGGAUCCCUAAAAAAAACACAUCCUUGCUGGAAAUCAGUGGAUGGAUGAGAGCCCUUAGAUGCAGUUUGGAUGGCAGAUAGUGUGACUUGGCUCUGCCAAGUUAGAGAAUCCUUCGUCCACUCGCAGUCGCACGCACGCACGCACGCACCAACUUCCCACGCCACAGCACACAGGCGGCGGCGGCGGCGGCGGUGAUGGGAGGCGAGGGCGCCAGUUCCAGCGGCGGGGGGUUCCGCGCCCGGAUAGACCACUACCUGUACAGCGGCGAGAAGAAGCACGUAGUCGCAGGCAUCGCCAUCUUCGCCGCCAUUUUCGGGGUGCCCUGGUACUUCAUGACCCGAGGUAUCGAAUCCCUUCCUACACACAGAAAACCCCAAUCCUUAGUCUCCCACCUCCUCUUGUUACCGUGAUGAUCUGUAUGCAAUUUGGAAGAGUCGGCGGAUUCACCUAGGCGGGUCCUAUUCCGCGUUCCUAUCUGUUGUGCAGCUCUCGAUGAGGGGAACUAGGGUUUGGUAGUUUCAGGCUUCGUAAUUCGUGGUGCUGAUGCUAUCUCCUUUGUGCUUCUUGGAUGGAUUGGAACUCUGAUAGUGAGGGGAAAUGUUAUAAAAUAUUCGUUUUGCGGCGAUAGUCAAAGCUAGUGAUGUUCUCGUUGAUUUUGAGUUCUCUUCGGCCUUCGCAUGCUCAAGAUUGGGGCCAUCUGAUUAUGUUGCAGUGAAAUCUGGAUGGAAUCAUUUAAUCCUAAGACUGAUUUUCUGCAACUACAAACCUUCUUGGGAUAAACAUUUUUAAUGCCUCCAGUUCUUUGUCCCUCUUAGGGACAGCGUUUUCAUUCCUCUACAUGCCAUUUUCAGCUGUCAGUUUAGAAAAACAAAAGUACUCCCUCCGUUCACAAAUAUAAGAUGUUCUACUAACUUUUUUGCGAAUCAGUUGUAUAUAGACACAUUUUAGUCCAUAUGUAGUCCAUAUUGAAAUAUCCAAAACAUCUUACAUUUGUGAACGGAGGGAGUAGGAAACUGCUGUUACUGGAGGUCGGUCCUAUAUGCAUAUGCCUUCCUGUUGGAUGAUAACACAUAUCAUUUUUGCACUGUAGUUCAAUCAGUCAUAACAUCUGAGGAUUUAUUUAGCAUGAGGAGACACCGAGACAGUUUGACAUAGAGAAAACAUACUCCGCCUGUUCGUAAAUAGAUGAUGGUUUGGAAAUGGUUACAAUCUGCCAUAUACAACUCUGACUGAGAUUUUUCACAUGAAUAUGAUUCUUUAAAAUUAUUAUGAGAAAAUUUAGGGAAGUGUGACUGCAUACACUGUAAGAUGUUGUCUAUUUAAUGGAGGUAAGUAUGUACUUGGGGAUAUUUCCUCAGGCUUGCACUUCAACCAUGAAACAGAAAAUUAGUUUUGUGGGCUCAUCUUUGUCAUUUUCACACAUUUGGUUAUCAAUCAAGUAGAGUAUGCAUUGUUGUAAAAUUACGCAGUACUACAAAAUACUCCCUCCGUCCGGAAAAGUUUGUCCCUCAAAUGGAUGUAUCUAGCAUCAAGUUAGUGCUAGAUACAUCCAUUUGUGACACAAGCUUGGGACAAGCUUUUUCGGACGGAGGGAGUAUAUAGGUGUGUACAUUAGACACCUUGCUCGAUUUGCCGUUGCGCCUUGGUUUUCAUAACCUUGUAUUGAAAUCCACAACUUCCUUUAAUAUGUGGCCACAGGCAUUCUGUGUACAGAUGAUUGAGCAAUCAGGUCUGUUUUUCCUUGUAAAUUAUAUGGUAUGCCAUAAACGUAUAGCUUUACCAUUAAAUCAUAUGUGCAUAGCAUUGUUUAUAAGGUGGUAAGGUGACCUAAGGUGAGCACCACCCGCUCUAGCGCCUAGAUGACGCCUAAGCACCUAAGGCGGGCAUAUUUGUAAGCGCUGCCAGGGCGCCUAAGCGUCUAAGGCAGGACACCUUAAAAGCAAUGACGCAUAGGUAAGCACAAAGCUUAUAGCAGGUUUUACCAAUAUAGCGUUAUAGUAUUAUCAACUCUCCAUCUCUUAUGAACCAUGUUAUUUGGCACAUUAUAUCAAGGGUUUAGUGACACAAGCUUCACAUUCACAUGGCACAGGACCAAUGACAAGAAAAAAUAGCAUUGCUGUCUUCACCAAAAUCAUCCCUACGUUCUUUAUCAUCUACCUUGAUUUCCACAAGUGCCAUGGUGUGUAGUGUACAUGCACCUGAUAGGCAAUUCAUGCCCUAUUCAUUGCAAAAAAAGGGGGUCUAGUUUACAAUUUUGAUCACUUCUGGUGCAGCACAACGCAGUGUUUUCUGGUUGGAACAACGCAUAACACUAUCAAGUGUUCAAACAACUCUAGUUUGAAUCUCUUGUAGGGUUGGAAGGUGCUGAAACGUAGAUAGGAUUAUUCUGUUUCCUUUAAAUAGUCUAGUCUGAGUAAGAUUGGAUAUGCUAUAGUCUAGAUUGGAUUAUUGUUGUAGAUCGGGUAUGUUUCUAUUGGAUUUGAAUGUGCUAUUGUUGCUCUGUGUCUGGUAGGAUUAUGGUGGAAAGCGCAAAGAUGUUUACAUGUGUGGAUUAUUUUUUAGAACAUGUAGUGCAUUAUGUCCGACUUAUUUGUUUGACAGGCUCAGCCCUUGUAUAUUUAGGUGGUAGGCACAGUGACGGUGCACUAUUGGUGCCAUAUUUUGAGUAUUAGUAUAUGUUGGAACAAUAUAAGAAGUGAGUUACAUGCUUUGCUUUCUGGUUGCCAUUAUUGCAUAUAUUGUUUUCUUUGUCUUGGUAAAUACUUUAAGACUACAUUCCUUAGCCUGGUCUCAAACAUAUUUUUUUUUUUGGGGAGGGGGCAUCUGUGGCGUGAGCUUAUAUUGUGGGGCGGAGGGAGUAGGUACGAAUAUAGCGAAUAAAGUCUCCAUUGAGGAUGAUAAACUGUCCCCAAUUUCAUCAAUUUUGAUCCAGGUCUAUAUGUGUGUGACUUCUUUUAUGUUUUCAGUUUCUGACAAUUGCUUAGUUUCUAGCGCAUUCUGAAGGCACGAUCAAUGUUUAAAUAGGAAAACCUGUUAUAGGUUUGAUUUCCAUGUACUCACUGCAACUGGUCAUUUUUAUAGUUAUUACUGAAUGAAGUUUACCAUCAUGGCGAUGAACUUGUGUGUACUGUGUUUACACGGUGUUAGGUGUAAACAGGGGAAUUAAAAGCCUUCAGUGGAUACUAUAGCUAUUUGAUGCUUACCUGUCCCGUGAUAUUGGUAUAGCUUUGAAUUCAUAGCAUCAUGGCACACAUGCCUCUAUAUUUUUAGGUUGAUUUUCUGCAUUCAUCACCACUAAAACAUCAGGUGGGAGUAUGAUUUACAAUCCAACUUGAUCUUCCGAAUGAUGCUUUGGCCAUCAGAUCAUUAUUCUGCCUGCUUCAAAGCAUUUUUUGUAGUUAUAUAGACCAACCAGGAUGCUAGUACAUUUUUCAUUUACUCCUUUUGGUACUCGACAACUUACUUGAUUGCAAUAUAUCUCAUCAAUUGCAGGGGCAAAGCAUGACUCUCAUCAAGAUUACGUGGAGCGAGCUAACAAGGCAAGGUCGGAUAGGCUUUCUUCUGGACAGCCAUCAUCACUGAAAGAAUAAAGCAGCUGUCUCGACCGGCCCCAGAUUUGCCCAACCCCUGCAUAUGCAGUUUGCAUUAUGAAUCUGAAGGCUUAAUCUUGUGUCAAAUAAACAGACCAUCUCUGUUCCUGAAUCUCAGAGUAGUGCUAUUGUAAUACAGUAAUAGAAAUUUUGUUCGCCGGAAUCUCAUAGUAGUGUCUUUGCUAUUCUAGGAGGAGAUGAUGGACAAAUCAUGGUAUUUUUGUCCCACGAAUUGCAGUCCGGAGCCAACUCUUGUUUGUAUUCCACUGGAGGAGAGUGUGCAUGCUAAUUUUUUGUUGACGUUACAGGCUGGUAGAGGAGUAGCGCACAUCCUGCAUGGUUUUGCAGAUGGAGACUGGAGAGGAAAGGGAGAAUUAGUAGAGUGAGGCGAGACGGAGCCGCGCCUGUUGGUGGCGGCGGAGGGGAUCGGAAAGGAGAAGAAAAAUGGGAUUGAGAGAGUGCUGUGAGUGGGUGGCAUCUAGCGAAAAUACAAAAUUGCCCCUUGCCGAGGAUGACAUUGCGUGGCGCCACCGUGAAACGAUCCCGUGCAAUCGAGGUUGUCUAGAGCGUGAUCUGAAGGCUCAAAGUGUCAAAUGUCGGAGAUGCCCCGUAAGUUUCAGUUGUCUAUUUCCUUUUGGACGGGAACUUAAUCUCAAAUCUGAAAUCAAUAACAUGUAGGUCAAAUGCUCAGCCAUAUGUGAUAAUAAAGUAGUGAUCUAAAACGUUUACAUUAGUUUACAUUCUUCGCUGCAAAUCACUACAGGGAGAGUUGAUAAUACACCUGCCUACAAAGUGCAUUUCAGAAGGAAAAAUCCAACUUAAAAAGGUCCUGUGAAAGAAGUGCAUGGAAACCAAUACGGAAUGGGUAAUGGUUUCAGACGGGCGACCAGCCACAGCUUUCGCUGGUCACCUCCUACCUGAGGCUAUACUUGGCCAUGGAAAACCCGACCCGAAAAAGCCCGACCUAGGCCUAAGUUUUGAGCCUGAAGGCCGGGCUAGGCUUGGGCUUGGGCUUGGCAUAUUUGCGUUUUAGGGAAGAGGCCUGGACCGAGGCCCGACGGGCUUUUCUACCGAUGGGCCAGGCAUGGGCUUGAAAUCUAGGCCUGGCGGCCGGGCCCGAGCCUAUGUUUUUUGCUACGGGCUUUAUAAGGCCCGACCCGACUUAUGUCCACGUAUACCUGAGGCGCGUCAUUGAGUGGACCGGUGGCCCCUCUCCUGACGGCUUAUCCCCUUUCCACCGCUUUUUGGGCCACUUGUUUGAUGUGGGAGUAAAUUGUACAAAACCAUCACAUUGAAGGCUAGAUUACUAGAAAACACAAGUUUACAUUUUCUUUUGGGCAGAAAACAUUAUGUCUACGGUAAUAUUUUUGCAAAUAACAUUGACCGGGACCUUUAGCUCGGUUAAGCGUAUUUAUUAUAGAUGGGGCCUGCCAGUCAGGCUGAAACCAAUUUUUUUUUCCUUUUCUCCUUCCAAUGACAGGUGGACCCAGUAGGGCCACACAUUACCAAACGUCGCCGUUAAAUCUGAGACGUUAAGUGGUGCCACAUCAACCUGCGGCGGGCCCCAUCUGUCAUAUAGUAAGACGUUAAUUUUAGAUGUUUUUUGACUAAUGUAAGAUGCUUUUGACUCUAGUGUAUUGUCAAAAAAUGUCUUAUUGUCGAAAAAUGUCUUAUGUUAUGGGACAAAGAGAGUAGUUUUCUUGUAACAAGCCUCGUAGCAGAUGUUGGAGCUGUUUUAUCUAAAUAAAGCACCCCAUGUACCCCUAAAGAAAAAGAGAAAAGUAUGUUUUUGACCCCCCAAGUUUUCCAAAAGUAUAGACUUGGUUCCUGAAGAUUUUUUGAUAUACAUUUGGUCCUUCAAGUCUCAAAACCGGAUAAGUUUGGUCCAAAACCAGAUUUUAAGCACAUUGGCCGGGUUUGAUUGAUGAACCGUAAAUUCAAUUUAAAAAAAAAACUCCAAAAUUUUGUGGCAACCAAGAUGCUUGGGUGCAUGAAAAUUUGUGUGGUGUUUCAACAUCCGAGGAGCUCGUGGCAAAAACAAAAACUAAUUUUAGCUAAAAAAAAAGGUAAAUUUUGUCUUUUUUUUUUGCUAGAGUUCCUCGGAUGUUAUUUGACCCCAACAAUUUACACGCACCAAGCGCGCCCAAGCAUGCUGUCACAAAAUUUCAGAUUUUUUAUUUUUUUGCUUUUUUUUAGAUUUACUAUUCAUGAUCAAACCUGGUCAAUGUGGUCAAACCCUGGUAAGUGACCAAACUCUGGUUUUGAGUUAAACUUAUCCGGUUUUGACACUUGAAGGACUAAAUAUAUACCUAAAAAUCUUAAGGAACCAAGUUUAUACUUUUAGAAACUUGAGGGACAAGAACAUACUUUUCUCAAAGAAAAAUAUGAAAAAAAACAGCCCAGACGCAUAAGCUGUGAAUUCGUGCUGCACGCACGUACAGACAAGUCAAAACUCCUCGUCAGCCCUAGUCAUGAAGUCGGUGAAGGCCCUGCACCGUGACGGCUGAUGCAGCACCCGCGAUGCAACCUUGCGCCACAGCACGACGGGGCCACCUUGCUGUCCGACGCCGCUGCGGAACAGCUUGGCCUCCACCUCGAACUCCGCGGAGUCCCAGCGCAGCUCCGCCUCCACGCGCCUCCUCACGGCGUCCGCCACGCCUGCAGCUUUGCCGCCCAGCGCCACCGCCUCCACCUCCGCCGCGCUCUUCGCUCCGACCCUGAAGCCCGGCACACGGCCCUCCGCUACAGCGACGCCCGCGUAGGACACCACCACCUUCCCAUCGCUGAAGCUGUUGUCCACCCACUUCGGCCGCCUGUUCUCCACGUGCAGGGUCACGUUGAACGCCAGGGCGCUGAGCCCCGCCGGCUGGCCGCGGCCGUCGAUGCUGGUGAGCUCGAGGGAGUAGACGUCCCAGUAAGAACUCCUGAACGCGUUGAUGAGGGCGAGCAGGAGCACGCCUGCACCUGUUCGAUUUCAAAGCUUGUAAAGCGAAAAACACAGAAACCUGGAACCAUAUUGAUGAUUAUUUACAGAUGCAAAAAAGAUGCUGCGAAGGAGAAGGGGGGGAACCGUACCAACUCCAAUCACGAAGGAAAACCAGCUAAACCAGAAAACCUCUCCCCAGUGAACAUGGGUCAAUUCUUUCUCCAUGCUUGAUUGAUUGUUGAGGCCGAUCUGUCCCCCCAAGCAGAUCAACUUAUAUUGCAGGAGCCAGCGACCGCCUUGUAUAUAUACAAAAAAAAAUAUUAUGGAGGUGCGUGUACGUGCAAGAGUUGGGUUACAAUUGGAGACCUCAUAUUUUGUCUCAAUCAAACUCGUAACAAUCCCGCAGCAAAAAAAAAACCCCUCGUACCAUCGAUCUCUCUGCGCACUCGAACUGCGUGUGGCAGAAACUAACGCUAGACGCCGACGCACAUGGCCGCCGGCCACGGCAGCGUCCGCCCGGCUGCACAUCAGUGGUUCUGGGAUUCCAAAUGAUCAUUUUCUACAAAGUCUGUUUACAGAGUAAAUUACAUAGAAGUACCAUAAUUAAGCCAUUGGAAACAGAUUGGUACCAAGAUUGGUAAUUUUUACGUGUCAGUACCAAGAUUGGGGCGAGCCGUUGCAAAAAAGACUAAAAGUGCGUUUUAUACGUAUUGACAGAAAAGCUGACCGGUUGGGCCCCACGCCGGCCAGUGCGCGCGUGCCCGCGCGCUGACUCGGACGAGCCCGGGUCGAGCCGUUUAGGGCGCGGCUGGUGCGGUCGAGCCACACCCCGCUCACUCCCCCCGCUCUGCUCUGCGUUCUUCUUCCUUCUCUCUGCCUCGCCGCCGCCUGCGCCCGCCCCCGCUGGCCGCCACACGAAGUUGCCGCAGCCAUGGAUUUUGAAGACGAGAGCAGCGACGACAACUCAAGCCUCCACCGAUGGGCUCAACCAGGUCAGUUACUCCAUUGGAGCUAGGGUUAGGGCUAUGUUUAGGAAAUUUUGGGGAUUUUUCUGUGUAGGUGGUCUUUGGUGUGAGGAUUUCGUUUGAUUUGCUUUGUCCUCGUCCUCUGCACAUGAUGCUAACUUGGAUUUUGCUUGGGCAGGUGCCUUUCUCUCUUGAGGACCCGGAUUACAAGGGUCUUGAGCUAGAUCUGAUAGUGUUGUGCAAGAAGCAUGGGAAGCCAUCAGAGAGGCUUGUUGCAUUUGAAGGAAUAAUGACUGGGAGAAGGUUCUUAGCAUGUGCAGAGCCGGUAUUUUUCUUGCCUUAUUGAUUAUGCACAGGAUAUGUUCAUUGGAAGUGAUAGAGUCUUGUUUGCCAAUUGUGAUUCAGUUAUGUGUAUAGUAAUUUUGUUAGUCAUAUAUGCCAUACUGUAGUUCUCAUUGUAGGAAUGGUGAAUAUUAUGGUCAGUGGAGUGCAUUUAGGCUAAAUAUAGGCUCAAGCAUGCUCUGUUGUGUGCACAUGAAUGCCCUAUUGUGUGCACAUGCUAUUUAUUUAUGCUUGUAUGCAAUGUUGCUUAGUACUCACAUUAGCCCCUUCAUUAGCUGAUGUGUGACUCUUAAUAAGUAAUUGUUGCUUACUGCUGACAGUAGGUACUGUCAUUAGCUAGUUUGUUCCUGUAGGCUAAUGUAGUAUAUUUAGCUAGGCUAAUGUAGUCUGGUUUGAUAACUCUUCAUUCAGUGAUUUCUAUGUUCCAUUUGUUAGUGAUAUAUGGCAAAGUAGUUCACUGCUAGAGUGGUAGUGCAGAUUGUAGGAUUCCAUUAUAUUAAUGGCCAAUUGUAAGUUGGUUAUUAUGCAAAGUUGAAUGGAGUGUUACUCUGCUAAUUAUAUACUGAUCACCCUCUUACUUAGCAUGAGCUAACUGUUGCUUACUACUCAUAGUAGUUGUAUUGUACUAAAUUUUGCCUUGUUAUUUUUCCAGAAAGGUCAAAAUUGUGGGUUUGUUCAGUGGAUUGAUGAGCAGUGGCCCCCAAAAAUGGAGAAUGCAUUGCUGAAGCUUUGGUCAAUGGUUGAAGAGAGCAAGUCUGCUAGGGUGAAUGAUAAUCUUCAAAGUGCUUUAACUAUUCACAAUUUGACAGAAGAAAAGAAGAAGCUGGAUGCAGAUUAUGACAAGUUAGUGAAAGAUGUGCAUCAACUUGUGGACUUUCAGCAGGAUAGGGUUGUGGAUUUUAGUUAUCUGCAGUCAGCUGUCACAUAUCAGCAUGAAUGCAGAGCUGAAUUGGUGGCUCAUAAGAAUGCAGAAAUGGCAAAGAAAGAUGCAGCUACAGAGGAGCUUCAACAGAAGUAUGAAAUCCUGUGCAACCUGACAAGUGCUCAAGCAAUUGCCAUCCAAAACCUCAAGUUGAAGAAUAUGAAAGAGAAGGAAUUGCUGAGUGAGGCUAGGAUGAAUUUGGAGUUGAAGAAUGCAGAGUUCACAAAGUUUGAGGAGAAGCUCACCCAAGAGAAGCUAGAGUUGAAGUUCCAGGUUGCUGAUCUGCUAAAGCUCAAGGAAAACCAUAAUGAAGAGAAGCAGAUGCAAGAGUUUAAGAUAACUGAGCUCAUGAAGGCAGAGGAGAAGCUGAAGGAGAAGAUCAAGGGGAUCCAGGCCAUCUUGGAGAACUGAACAAGAUGAAUUGAGAUUAGUGGGCAUUGCAGACUUUUUGGGAAGGAUGGCUGUGCAAUGACCUAGUAACUUAGAAUUAUGGUUGUGUGAUGUAUGGUUCUAGUACUAAUUGUGAACUCUGGCUGUUUAUCUACCUAGUAAUAUGCUAUUCAUCCUUUUGUGAGAAAAGGAUGGAUUGUGCAUUUGAACUCCACUAUGUAAUGUGAACUCCAGUGAUGCUUAUGUUAGACUGAAAAUGUUUACAUACUGAUGCUUAUGUUAUUCUGAUGGUUAAAUGCUUCUUAAAUGCAUAUAGUUACAUAUGUUAGAGUGAUUCUUAAAUGCUUAAAUGCAUUUGCAAAAGGAAUAGUUUGUUAUGGUACAGUGAUGCUUUAGGUGGUUUCGUCGACCCCGAGCCACCGUAGACCCUAGUUGAUGGUUUUAGGUGGUUUCGUCGACCCCAAGCCACCCUAGACCCUAGUUGAUGGCUUUAGGUGCUUUCAUCGACCCCGAGCCACCCUAGACCCUAGUUGAUGGCUUUAGGUGGUUCCGUCGACCCCGAGCCAGCCUAGACCCUAGUUGAUGGCUUUAGGUGGUUUCGUCGACCCCGAGCCACCCUAGACCCUAGUUGAUGGCUUUAGGUGGUUCCGUCGACCCCGAGCCAUCAAAACCCAAAAUGAUGGCUUUAGGUGGUUUCGUCGACCCCGAGCCACCAAAACCCAAAAUGAUCGCUUUAUACAACAUAUCAAUAGGAUCAACAUAUCAAUCAUAUAAAGAACAUUUUCAGCAUACACAACAUAUCAAUAACUCCAUUAAUAUAUCCAGCAUAUCAAUAACUCCAUUUUGAGUACUCAUCAACAUAUGAAUCAUAAAAAGAACAUACACACUAUGAAGAUAUCCAAUAUAAUGAGUACUCAUCAAUAACUCUAAAAUAUCAAUAACUCCAGCAAUAUAUCCAAUAAUAUAUUGAGUACUCAGCAACAUAUCACAUGAAGAUAUCCAAUAAUAUGCAUCCACAUGAACAAAAGCCAUACAUGGCAUUGAUUCUUAAAGUACAUCAUCAAAGCAAGACCACCAUUGUAUCAUAGGAUGCAAGAACAAACACAUGAAUUAUCUAGUUGCCACUUGCAUGGAAGUACCUCCUCCAUCCACUAUGUGUAACACCAGCACCUGUCCCAGCAGUAGAUGUGGAUGGACCAGAUUGCCUUGGGGCAGAGAAUGUACCUCUCCCUCUCCCAGCACCUCUACCAGCACCUCUCCCAGCACCUCUCCCAGCACCUGCACCUGCAACACCUCUCCCAGCACCUCUACCAGCUCCUCUCCCAGCUCCUGUCCCAGCACCUCUCCCAGCACCUCCUGUUCCAGUUGUUGGUGUUGUUGUAGGAGCUGGUUGAGAAGUUCUUGCUGCUGGUGUAGUAGCAGCAGCACCAGCAUUGGGAUUCCUUGCAAGAGGCUUGCAUAAACAAGAAGGAAAAUGAGUUAGUACUUAAAAAAUGGAAUGUACAAGAAGGAAAACAUGUUACUACUUAUAAGAGGAUUACCACAUGUGUGUUCUUCCUCAAAGCCAGCUCAGGCUUCAACUGCUUCAUGCAGCUAGUGUACCUAUGUCCUUGUAGUCCACAAUUGCCACAUGUUAUAGUCCCCAUUCUGGAUGUGUCCUUAGGCUUUGGAACUUCAAAUUUCCCCUUGAUCCUUUUCUCUUUCUUUCUUCCUCUCUUCACUUUAAAUGCAGGUGGGUCAAUGUCAGGACCAGGGGUCCUUGUCCAGUCAUGCUCACCAGGAACUGGAUAGAUCAUUGGUUCAUAAGCUGCCACAUAAAAUUCUUUCUUGAAGAACUUGCUGACAUAAUCCUCUGGUUUUCUUUUGCCCUUGUUUAUUGCUGAGAUGGCAUGGUUACAUGGGAUGCCACUGAGGUCCCAUUUUCUGCACCCACAUGUGUGCACUUGCAAGUUAACAGCAUGGGUUUGCUGCCCACUUGUAACUUGCCACAAGUCCACACCAGCUUGAAUUGGUUUGCAAUAUUGGGCCCUCUCCUUCUCAACCUCUAGCUUCUCACUAUAAUGGGGUGUUAUGUCCCAUGUAGAUGUCUUUGCACUCUCCCUAUUCCUAUGCCACCUCAUCAUCUGCUUAUCCUUUAUUCCAUCACACAUUGUCCUAAUUGGUUUCUUCCUAACAUCUAGGACAUACUUGUUGAACACCUCAGACAAAUUGUUGACUACAAGGUUAGUCUUGGAGUUUGUGUCAAAUGCAUGCCUUGCCCAUGUUUUCUUGGGUAUUUGACAAAGCCACUCCCAAGCUUCCUUAUAUUCAGCUCUAAGGUCAUUCAUUGCAAUGUUAAAUUUGUGUUCACUAUAUGCAUAGGCAGCAUUAUCCAUACACUUCUUCAGAUCUUCCCCCCUAAACCCAGCAGUUUGGAAGUUUGCAUAGAUAUGCCUAAGGCAGAACCUUUGGUUGCACUUAGGAAAGACAGCAUUCACUGCAUAUAGUAGGCCCUGGGACACACAAUUAAACUAGUUAAGCUAAUAUCUAGCACAAAACAACCUUAUAGGAACAAGGACAUAAGAUGCAAGCACAUACCUUUUGCCUAUCUGACAUGAUUGUAUAUGGACCAAACUGUCCCUCUUCUCCUCCUAGGCAGAUUUUAAGUUGGUGUAGAAACCAACACCAAUUAGCUUUGUCCUCUUGCCCAACAAUACCAAAUGCUAGUGGGUAUAUAUUGUUGUUGCCAUCUCUACCAGUGGCAGCAAGUAGUUGAGCACCAGUAGUUAACUUAAUGAAGCACCCAUCAACACCUAAAUGAGCAAGCAAAUUCAAUAUUUAGAAAAUUCAAAUGCAUUUCAAGAUGAAACAAUAUGUAACUAAUGCACAAGGUGAACAAACUAACCAAUGAAUGUUCUGCACCCCUUGAGAAAUCCCUCUCUUGCUCCAUUGAUGCAAUGGAACAUAGCAUGAAAUCUUGGACCUGGAUGGGGGAUUUUUGCAUUGGGUGUUGGAGUUACAGUAGUGACAACUACUCUACUCCCAGGGUUUGUAUCCAUCACUGUCUGAGCAUAGUCUUUCAACCUAGGGUAUUGCUUCUUGUGGUCUCCUAGCACAACAUCAAUACCUAGGUUCUUUGCCCUAUAUGCCAUUGACUUGGGCACAUCCACACCAUACUUCUCCAUGCAGGCAUCAAUCAAAGUCUGAAUGCCAGUUGUUAGAUCAGAUCUGAACAGUGACUCAUACUUCUGUGCAAGCCACUUGGCACUUACCCUUGUUGUCUCUGUACUAAUAUGGCAAGUGUGCUUAAUUCUCAUCUUCUUAAUUACAAAAGUAGUUUUACCUUUUAUAACUGCUGCAACCAUAAAGAAGUUGCAAUGUUUUUGGUUGCAUUCUACAAUUAUUCUUUGAUCCGAGUUCCUAUGAUAUCCGAAGUUUCUGCCUUGAGUGAUGUGUAAGUUCAACAAAGCAUCUCUGAAUUGAUGUUGAUCCAAGAAACACAUCUUUAGACAUAAUUGCUCAUGUGGUGCCUCCAUCUUCUCAUUGUACCAUUUUCUAGGAGGCCUCUGCUUUGCCCUGCUCUUCCUUUUCUUUGGCAGUACAAAUGACAAUGGCUCAUAACCAUCAUCAUCAGCCUCCUUCAACAAUCCUUUCUCUUCUUCAUCAGAUGAAGGUUUGAAAUCAGGUUCCUCCUCUUGAACUACACUUGAAUGUGUCCUUGUUGUAGGCCCUUUCCUAACUGGAAGCUUCUGUUCUUCUUCUUCUUCUCUUCCUGUACAAUUACAGUUUCUUCAUCCUGUGAAACAACUUUCUCAUCUUCAUCCAUUUGGAAAGGUUCCUCAACCUCUGUGUCACCCUCAUAAUACACCACUUCUUCCACCUCAGAUUCUUCAUCAUCUGUUUCUUCCUCUUCUAUUUCAUCAUACUCUCUUUGUUUCUUUUCCUCCUCCAUCUCUAUAUCACCAGCAUCACCCAUAUAAAAAGGGUUUACAUCACUGUCAUCUUCACCUUCACAAUCAGAACCACCACUGCCAUCAUAUCCCUCUUCUUCUUCUAUUUCCAACACAGCUUUCAGUUUUCCUUUUACAUUCUUGCUCUCUUGUGCGCAAACACCAGUACCAUGAGCUACACUGAAGCUGCUACUCUGACUUUCAAAGGCAACUCCUUCUUCAUCAACAGCAUAGAUGGGUGGCUCACUGAGAUCAUAUAACACAUGCUCUUCAUACACAACAGUGGAUAAUUCUUGCCUCUCAAACUGGCUGCAAAGAGGUGGAACAGUGGAUAAAUCUUGCCUCUCAAACUGGCUGCAAGGAGGUGGACAUGCUCUCACUAACAAAUUUAAAACCUUACACUCCUCAACCUGCCUCUUUACUAGUUGCAACUCAGCAUUACUCUCUACCAUCUCCAAUCCUUUCUCCCCUAAAUAUGGAUUCUCAAUGUGAAACAACAGAUCAUAUUCACUAAAUCCUUGGGUUUCCAUCACUGCAAUCAUAUUCAUGUAUGUCACAUCUGAACUGUAGAGCUUCAGCUCAAACAUUUCUGAAGCAUCAAAAUGGAACCUAACAUCCAAAAUGUCAUCAUACAAACUGCAAAAUGAAAUAACAGACAAAAUUGGUUAAUAACAAUUUUGCUUAACAGAUAGGCUAACAUAUAAACAAAGAUUUGUUUAAUUUAGCCUUGCAAUAUGAAUAAACUAAACAAUUACUACAAAAUCAAACAAUGUAAACAACUAUCUCAAUGCAACCAUAAUUACAGAGCGGGUACUUAACUCACAACAAACUGAUGUUUUGUAUUUUCAUAUAAGUAGUUAACAGAAUUGUCCACUAAUGGUGCUCUGCUCUAGUUAGGACUCAUUUAAUCCACUAUGCUUCUCUGCUCUGCUCUGGUCUAAUGGUGCUCUGCUCUAAUGGUGCUCUGCUCUAGUUAGGACUAAGAAAUAACAAUGUAAGCCACUAAUGAUGCUCUGCUCUGCUCCAGUUAGGUAACACAUAAUGCUGCUAUGACAAUUUGGACUAACAAAUAACAAUGUAAUCCACUAUACUUCUCUGCUCUAGUUAGGACUAGCUAUUAGAGUGCUAAACAUGCAGGCAGUAGAAACCUAACCCUAAUCCCCAAUUUCAGUGAGCAAGAAUGGAACAGUUGACCACUUACAGAACACCACCGAAGCCAUGAGCCCACUGAUGGGCGGUGCUAGGGUUGGCCACCCAAAUUCCCGCCAACUGCAGCCUCUGCUCCAUCGACAACACCGGCUCCGCAAAAUCUUCGUCCUCGCUACUGUACUCCGAGCUGGAGUAGCCGCCACUGCCAUCGAGGCCUAAGCGGGGAAGGUCGCCCCCGCUCACAUCGCCCCGGCCAUCGCCGCCUGCCGGAGUCGCCGAGGCCAUCGUCGCCUAGGGAGGCACAACAGCCAGGGAGGAGAGGAGGGCGCGAGGGAGGAGCGGCCGCGGGGGAGGUGACAGUGCCUAAGCACUUCGAUCCUAGGCUACGGCGGCGUGCUGUGGCGGGCGGCGGGGCGGGCGGGGAGGCAGCCGCCGACGAGGGUGCGAGGGCAGAGCGGGGUCGGGGUCUGGCUCGGUCGCACCAGCGAGACCUAAACGGUGCGAGCCGGCCUCGUCCUAGUCAGCGCGCAGUCACUCGCGCACUGGCCAGCGUGGCGCCUGACGGGCGGGCCCAACCGGUCAGCUUUUCUGUCAAUACGUAUAAAAUACACUUUUAGUCUUUUUUGCAACGGCUCGCCCCAAUCUUGGUAUUGACACGUAAAAAUUACCAAUAUUGAUAUCAAUCUGCUUCCAAUGCCGCAAUUGUGGUACUUCUAUGUAAUUUACUCCUGUUUACAAUACACAGUCUGGCUUGGCACAAUGGCCAUAUGCAACACGGCUUGCACCAUUUAGAGACGGAAAUAGUAACUGGCAAACGCCGGAUAUUUGAGGAUCUCGGUGCAGGACCGGUGCCACGUCAAAUUUUGAAACUAGUUUGCUACUUCCUCCGUUCCAAAAUAGAUCACCCGACUUUAUACUAACUUUAGCCCAAAGUUGGAUCAUCUUUUUUAAAACGGAGGGAGUAUAAAAUAAAAUUCAGGGAGUGUCUUACUUUUCAAAACACCGAGUAAAUUACACAAUAGUACCACAUUUGGGGCGGUGGUGACGGAUUGAUACCACUUUUCGUAAUUUUUACAUGUCAGUACCAUGUUUGAGGCUGUCUGUUACAAAAUAGUCUAAACCAUGUCUAAUAGUGUAUUGACGGUGUAUCUGACUAUUGGGGCCCGCUUUGUCGGGUGCUGACGUGGUCUAUUCUUUUGCAGAAAACCCCCUUACUUUAUAUGUAAUCAGGUAAAAUGAUCAUGUGGGAGACUUUAUUUUUCUUUCGGACUUGUUUGAAACUUACUUUAUAUGUAAUCAGGUAAAAUGAUCCUGUGGGAGACUUUAUUUUUCUUUCGGACUUGUUUGAAAGUUUCCAUCGAACUGGACAAAUAUAAAAAUGAAACGGACCUGCUGCUCAUACCAAUAAGUAUUAUAAAGAACGGACCUGCUGUUCACUUCAUCUGCAAUCACGUGAUUGGUAGAACUUGGUUCAUUAUCUUAAUACGCCUCCUAUAACUUGUGGUUUCUAGACUUCUGCUUAUACCAUGACCGAGUUCUGCAAAACAGAGAAAAUAAUGUUUGUUCCUCUCUUAUUCAAGUUAAUACGAUGUACUGGAGAUUACUGUAAGACGAAAGAACAAAUGAUGAUAUUGUUAAACAUUUUGAAAGAAGGACCUAUUUGUUUAAGAGAAAACCAUCGGCAAUCCAGCGGUGCUGGCUGCUGGUUUUUGAACCCCUGGUUCUAUCCAACAUCAAUGACAAAUGAGCCUUUCUAACAUAUUUCUGCAUUCACAUACGUCAACUUAUUAUGGAAUAUGGUUUUCUGACCUGCGCAUCAAAGCUUAUGAGGGCAACUUAAGAAUUGUAAUACUUGCAGAUGCGUUCAGACCUUGAUGAUUGGCUUCAUACCAUCGCAUUGCUAUCUUAUCUUACAGUUUUGUACAAUAUAUAACUGCACCUGCCAGAAAGCAUGUUCUUAAAAAGCAUGUUCUAGAUUCUUCUCUUUGGAUUUGAGUUAAGUUUUAUCUCCUGACCCUUUUUCAUUCUGAUUGUUUCAUGGUAUCAAAGAAAACCAAUGAAUUUUUGGAUGGGGAAGGAGUGCUUCCACAGAAACUUUUUGACCUUCCGUCUAAGUGUACUGAUUUUAUACAUAAAGUUAAAUCUGGCACGACACUAUUCUUGUAUGAGGUUGAGCACCGUAAGCUUCAUGGGCAACUUCAAAUGGAGCCAUGAAUAUCAUUCCUGAUGCAUAUGCCUCAUUAGGGUUUCGGUAUCCUUCUGUUAUGAAUAUGUUUUAGACAUACCAAGCAUAGUUAUCUAUUCCAUUUAUUCCAGGGUCUCUAUGAAAUUUGUCAGUCACAUGUCGUUGAUAACCCAACUGGAGCAUCUAUCCUCCACUUAUUCCAUAUUUCACGCUAAUUUGUACCUUUCAGAUGGUAAAAGGAAACUGUCAGCAAUUUUCUGUAAUGCUUUGAAAGUUGCCCUUCCUGGCAUAUUAUCGGAGACAAACUAAUACUUUUCCUGUUGUGUUCGCUAAAUAGAGAAACGCUUUAAGAGGAUUUGGUUUUGCAAGCCUUUGAUGGAAAGUGAAUUUGAAGAUGCAGUACAGGAUAAUUAAUGCUUCGCAAGAAACAAGUUUAGUUACGGUUUGACACAUCAACAGGUCUGUUUCACAGUCUUCUGGUGUUAUGUUAAUUUAUGUUAGCUACUGAUCCCAGGGUGUUCCUUUGAUACAAGUUGUAAUUUGUAAAGCAGCAUGCUUUAUUAUUUUAGUUAGCAUUAAGCUAAUCACAAAUCACAAAAAAUACACAGACGCACCCUUAAAGAAUCGUAUCUAUAUAUGUUCCGCUCUUUACUUAAUCUUGAUGUUGCAUAUUGAACCUUAUGUAUAUUUUCCUUGCAUCUAAAUUGUUGCUUUCUACUCAAUAUUGUGUGUAUAUGUCCAUCUGUGCAUAAUAUGUGGCCCAAAUGAUGUGAUAUGUUCUUUUAGCCAUGAACCAAUUUAUGUAGCGAGGCUGACGAUUUGACUGUAACAUUUUUUCUCCUCUGGUUGAAUACUGCAUCUUUUUUGAAAUUGUCCUAAAUGUUUUAUAGCUCCUAAGUAAUGUAUUGUCGAAGCCGGUGGGAAAAUAUGAUGUGUCUUAAGAUAAUUAUAAAAUAACUGAAUAUAUCAAAAUGAUAAUGACAUUGGAUUAACUUUAGAGGAAUAUGACAGAAGGUUUAACCUUCAAUAUUGUAGGUUUUCCUGAUUGUCUGUCACCUUAUUAGGAGACGACGACCGCUACCAUGAAUAGGUUUAAAUGCCGCAUUGCUUCCAUUGGACAAAUCAUGAUAGAAAACAAAUGUGUCUAAACUUAUAACAUAAACUACUGCUGCUUUGUUGUUUUUAUCGAGGAUGUUUUCUUUAAGCAUAUGCUAAUCACACACUAUCUCCUAUUUCACUUAGAUUAUUCAUAGGGCUCCAGGGAUAACCACAUUAUUUUCACUUACAUGUUCCUGAUUCCUUCGUCGUCUCGCAACUGGAUUGGUGGGUGGCGACACGUUCGUUGUUUGGUCGAGCCGUCCACGUCGCUGUUGCUGCCGUCCAGGAUGAGCUGCUCAGCCUGCUACUCCACGAGACUCCUUAGCAACAGCUGAAGAGAGGUUUCAUGGGAACAAGCACCCAUCGUUGUUGUCGCCGUUAGCACCGUCCCUUAACUGCGACCCUUUGGACCCUUUGCUGAUCCAGCUCCCAGAAGGUCAGUGCCUGGUAUAAUUCCCCUUCUCUUCACCUUCUCCAACCCCUGUAGUUUCAAGUCCUGUUCUGAUCCUAUUUGUAAUGAUAUUACUUGGCAUAGGGGAAGGGAAGUGGUUUCUCUCUGUCGAGGAGGACAAACAGAGAUAGAGGAGGCAGAUGUGAUAUGCUUGGCAUUAUGCUGUGAGGAUAGAGGGCCAUGGAUCUGGAUGUGGAGGUCAGUGGCAGUAUCGAUGCCUUUUUCCUCUUCUACUCGAUUCCUUGACCUGUUUCCUUUCACUGUUAGAUUGUGAAAGUCCAUGUGACGUUCGUGUCAAGAUGAGCGGCCGUUCCUGCUGACAUUGUGUCAACUAGAUGGUUGUAUUCUUAAAACUUAUCAAUCAAUUGGAGUCGGUUUCUAUAAUUGUUUUCCCUUCAGAAGUUUUUAACCUGCUUAAUGCUUAUUGUUCAGAAUUUUAGGUGCUCUUUUGUCAGAGACCGCUUGAUGGUUUGGUUGGGACUCUAUGAUUUAGCCUAUUAUUGGUGGCAACUAAUUAGGCAUCGAUACUGUGAAUCAGUAAACACUUGCAACAGGACUAUUUUUUUAACUUCCGGACAUUUUUAUUUAUGUGAAAAAUACUUUGUUUGGCGAUACACUAAUUCAGAAUAUUCAUGCUUCAAUUCCUCAUGAACUUUAUUCCUCUAUCCUUUUUUAUGUGUACUAACGUGUCUUUUUCUCUAUCCUUUUUCCUGUAUACUAAUGUGUCUUUAUUUAGUGCAAUGCCGAGGUUUCCUCCAUGCUUCCAUACAAUGUCGGAGUACAUCAGAUGUUGCAGUCUGUUCAUCCUGGAUAGUGCUGAGGAUGAAUACAAACUUAUAUGUAAUUGGUUGGUGCUUGCUUUACAUAAGACGGCCACUGUUCCACUUCUGUUUUUUUUUACUUGGUCCUGUACAUGUCUACCGUGUUGUAGUUAAAGUUUCUGAUGUACACUUGUUCCAGCCACAAACAUGGAAGCAAGUUGUUCCUAUAAACCCAUGAUACCCACAAACAUUUUUAGAUCGAUAUUUACAAAAGUGUCAUGUCGAUCAUUACUCACAAACCCAGCCACAGCCAUAUGCUAAACAUGAAUUUCUACUAACUUAGCAUUACCUGCUUGACCAAACGUUUGGACCGGCACCCUCACGUCAAGGCGUGAUAUAAAUCUAGUUGGAUAUUACUAGAGGAUGGGGCGCGCCUCCUGAGCAGACCUGUGCGCACAAAUCCUGCCGUUAGAGUUUUGAACGUUCGUAUGCAACCCAGAUGAGCGCCAGAUGUCAAAAAAGAAAGAAUAUACUAUAGAACUGCAUCGGUAGGAUCUUGUUGGAUUUACAAAAGAUUAAGCUCAUUGACAACCAUGCACUUACAUUACAAAAGAUUAAGGAGCAUUUGAGGCUUUUCUAAUACAAUGAUUAUAACUUUCCUACAUAACAUGCUAAUAGAGCCUUAACUUCUCUGUGAGAGCUUCAAAAAAUGAGACUCAUGGAAGGCUUAGUUUGGUCUUGCGGUCUGCAUCUUUGCCACAAAACAUCUUUUGCUUUAUUUACAAUAGGAACUGCAAAAGAAAAAUAUCAAGCACAUCAUCACCACUGAAGUGAUAACAAGAGAGUAGUCCGAAAACCAUUCCAGUGCUGCUCGAGAAGCAUACUUUAAGUACUAAACAUGCCAAAAUUGUUGGAGGUACAGUCAUACUAAAUACACAAAAAUCAAUGCUCAGGAAGCACAACAAAACAUGCCAAAAUCUUUGGAGGUACAGCCUGAGUUAAUUCACAAAAAUCAACGCUCAAGAAGCAUAACUGAACAUACAAAAAUCUCUGGAGGUAAGACCCAAAUGAAUCCACAGAACACCACCAAAGUUCAAGCAUGCGCCUAGGACUGCUAAGC
Molecule: long non-coding RNA, 54695 nt
Filed under: Triticum aestivum (bread wheat)
Lineage: Eukaryota; Viridiplantae; Streptophyta; Magnoliopsida; Poales; Poaceae
Description: long non-coding RNA (TAES_LNC021161)
Rfam family: MIR1120/MIR1122 microRNA precursor family (bases 36343-36468)
Source: RNAcentral